This is a long non-coding RNA of Loxodonta africana (African savanna elephant), 71608 nucleotides long. RefSeq lists it as uncharacterized. NCBI's taxonomy places the organism in Eukaryota, Metazoa, Chordata, Mammalia, Proboscidea, Elephantidae. The transcript is spliced from 2 exons. The record is from RefSeq and is a predicted model, not a curated record.
CAACCAAAGUACUCCACUGUCAUCACAACCAUGUCCUUACCUGCAGAGUUUUUGGAAUUAUCCAAAGUUCAUUGUUUAACAUUCAUUGACAGAUCACUCUCGUUCAGGAUACUGUACAGAGCAAGUUUAUGCAAGCUGAACCCCAGCCUUGUUAAUCUAGGGAGAGAAUGGGAAGGCGAUCAAAUUCAGGAGGCUGGAAAAGCUAGGCUUGUUUUCCAUCAGAAAACUGCACUGAGGUGGUCAGAUGUAGUGUGGAUCAGUGUCAUAAAGCCUUUAUUGUUUAUCUAAGUGUCUGGGUUUUUUAAUUUUUUCCACUUGGCUGCUAUGCUCUGAUGUUAUUAUUCUCAUGUAAUUGAGUUUAUGAGUUGAGUAACUUUUGGAAUACUGGUAACUACACUCUCUCACCGGAGAUUCAUCACACUUGAGGCAUUUUAAUAUAACUCUUUCACUAGUACCUGGGAGCCCUGGUAAUGCAGUGUUUAAGAGCUCGGUGGCUAACCAAAAGGUCAGCGGUUUGAAUCCACCACUUGCUCCUUGGAAACCUGAAAUUUUCAUUUGAAUUCUAGAAAUUUAAUGUAAUAAGUAUAUUUCCACUUUUAAAUUUCUUUUUCUUGCCUGAGCCAUUAUGCAUUUUCACAGAGCAAAUAUUUAAUCCUUAGGGUUUCGUAACCAGGGGAUUUAAAGAUUAGCUUUGAAAAUAGGUCAGGAGAAAACAUCUGCUUUGGUUAAAAGCUAAUCAGGUAAGGAAACAAGAAAAGCAAUUUAGAAGCUUUUGAAAAGCAUCCAUGAAACCAAUUUUAUGUAAAGUUUGAAAGCUGUUGUCUGUGCAGCUGAUGCAGAUGAGUCAGAUUUUCCUUGAGUUUUGACACUCAUUCAUUCACCCAGUCAUUAUUAUUCAUCCAUUCAUUCACCAGAUGUUGCUGUGGACACUGGGUAGCAGAGAGAAUUCAGAUAGUCAGUGCUCCCUGUGUACCAGGCCUGUGCCAGGGGCUAGUCAGUGCUCCCUGUGUACCAGGCCUGUGCCAGGGGCUAGUCAGUGCUUCCUGUGUACCAGGCCUGUGCCAGGGGCUAGUCAGUGCCCACUGUGUACCAGGCCUGUGCCAGGGGCUGUAAAAGUUGGCACUCAGUGCUUAUAGCUCCAUAGCAUGGUGUCGUGGGGAGUCCUCAAGAGCCACUGAGUGUGUGGCUUCAGGUGAGACCCUCUCCAUUUCCUUACCUCUGAAACGGUAAUUAUGUUUGCUUCAUGGCUUUGAUGUAAGAAUCAAAUGUAGUAGUGGUUUUGAUAGAGCUUUGAAAAGUAUCAGGUGUAUUAUAUAAAGACAAGUAGUGAUUGGCUUACUGUUAGUGAUUUUGACCAUUUCUUUGACCAUUGCUUCCGUGAAAAGGAUUGGAGAUGAGUGUGUUUUUAUUGUUCUCUUGAGCUAGAGCUGUAUGUUUACGAUAGUCAGACUUACUGUUUCCUUCUCGUGUGUAACAACCCCACUUCCUGUCCAUGGGACAGGGAGUUGAGGUAGCUGGGAAAAUGAUAACUAAAAAAAAAAAAAGCUACAGCUGUUAAAACUCAUUAAGGUAAUACUAUUUAACUCAUUAUUAAAUCGACAAGCAUUGAUUAAGUACCCAGACUAAGGGGCAGAGAGAGGGCUGAGAUAUCAGAUGGCACCUAUCUUCAGGAAGCCUAGACUUGACUUUGAAAAUUCAAAGUGGCCAAAUAUGAAUCAUUACCUUUGCUGCAGUUUCUCGAGGAUCUGCAAGAAGGUGACCAUCAGGCUUUCCAACAUUUCUGCGGGCCCUCUCUUAGACUUUGAAAUGCCCAGUUAUACCUGUUGGAUUAUGCUUCUUAUGAGGAAACUAAAAAAAUAUUUCUAGCUUCGUGUUUGAUUUACUGCUAGGUUCGAGGUCAACCAUAUUGAAGUUCUAGAAUAAGGUAAGAGAUCCAGCUUGCCCUAGAGCAAACUCAAUCCUGGGCUAACUCAAGGAUCUUUCUCAAAUACCAGCUCUAGAGUAGACAGAUUUCUGUGUUUUACUAACUACUGACUCUCCAGUGCCCAGACAGUGCCUCUCUACCACUAAAAAUGUUUUGAAUGAUGAAAGCUGCAGCCUACCACUCAGAUUGACGGCUUUUGGGAGAAGGGCCUGUUCUUUACCCCUCCCUGAGUUUCCAGUGUCUGGUACAUAACUGGCACUCUGGAUGCUUGUUGAAUGGACACAUGCACAAGUGGAGCUCAGUGGACGCCCCACCCAGGACUUCCCAAGCUCUGCUCAGAAUUUCCUACUUCAUAUGUUCUUUUCAAAAGAUAAUCCUCAAAAGGUCAAAGUGUAUUCCAAGAAGAUACCUGUGUGUUUCGCCUGCAGAGUCCCAUCUUGUCUGUCACGCUCCAGUGGCACUGCUUACCCCGUCCCUGCAGUAUAGCCCAGGACAGGGAAGGCCAUGCUUGAAGACAUCCGCAACCAUGUAGGAGACCAAAAGGCCCAGAGAGAAUGGGCCUGGUGUAGGAGAGAAAGGAGGACAAUUUGCAAAGUUAUUUUCUGGGAGUUUACUAUGUUGUCUUCCAGCCUUUGAUGACUCUUUCAGCUCUUUAUAAAACAAUUGUUGUCGUUGUAGUUGCCCUCAAGUUGAUUCGAACUCAUGGCGACGCUAUGUGUGCACAGUCAACUACUGCACAGAAUUUUCAAGGCUGUGGCCUUUCAGAAGCAGAUCACCAGGCCUGUCUUCUGAGGCACCUCUGGAUGGGUUCAAACCACCAACCUUUGGAUAGUAUUGGAGCUCUUAACUGUAUGUGCCACCCAGGACUCCUUUAUAAAAUAAAAUAACACUAAAAAAAAAAUCUGUGGCACUUUACCUUUUCCAGUACCUUUUCACAUGCAAAUAUCUCUUUUGCUCUUCAACCCUGUGGAAGUGGUGUUUGUUUUCAUUGGUACUGUUUGUACAGAUGAGAAAUAUCAGGCUGGGAGGAGGGCCCAGUCCAGGAUGAAGUACGUGAGGCACUCGCCUCAGGCGCAGAAUUUAAAGGCAUGCCAAAAACUCAGUAAUCAAGACAAGUGAUAUUUUAUGCAGUAUUUUAAAAAAUCAAAAUUUGUGCAGGAUCCGACAAGGCCAGGAUUAAGGGGAGGUGAGUCAUGGUGAUCCCAGGGUCGGUUCCUAUCUUUGUUUGUUGUUGUUAGGUGCCAUUGAUUCAUUGUGACUCAUAGGGACCCUGUAGGACAGAGUACAGCUGCCCAAUAGGGUUUCCAAGGAGCAGCUGGUGGAUUCGAACUGCCAACCUUUUGGUUAGCAGCCGAGCUCUUAACCACUGCACCACCAGGGCUUUUAUCUUUAUUUAGAAGUUGGAUUCAUUGUGGAUAGUUUGCAUUAAUUUUGAUUUUUUAAAUAUUAUAUUGAAGUAUCAUUUAUCUUGAUUACUGGAUUUUUGGCACCCUCUUAGAUUUUGCUCUUGAGGUGAGUGUCCCGCUCAGCGCACCCUAGUCAAGCUCUGCCUGAGAGAUUAAGUGCCCAAGAUCAUAUGGCUUGUAAGUAGCAAAGUCUCCAUUUGAACCAAGGUGUUCUGACUCCAAAUCAUGUACUCUUUCCAUUACACCACACAGCCACCCGAGAUGCCUCAUCUGCUUUGUCUCGGAACAUCUGUUGGUCUGUUGUUCUUUAAAAUUUCUUCAGCUUAUAAGCUCUACUAUCUGAGAGUGUCUUUGUACUCCCCGUUGGCCUUUCCAUUGCCCCUCCUCCCCUUUUUUCCUGUAAAUACACCCUCUGUUGUUUUAAAUUAUUUGAUUUGUAAGCAUUUCUAGAUGAAUCUUAUCUCAAGGACACAGUAUAGAAUAGUUGCCGUGCCUAAAGCCAUAUUCUGUGACUCAAAUUAAAAACAAAUGAAUAUAGCUCCUGCUACUGGGGGUGGGUGGGAUUUGUUCUUCAAACACCAUCAAAUUGUAGGCUGAAAUAGUGGCUAGAAUAGCAACUAGGAGUUCAGUGUGUCUUACAAAGUCAGAAGCCCAGCAGACUUUGAGUAAUUCUGGAAUAAUGAAAUAGUUCAUGAUAACAGGGAUGAGUAGAGUUAACACUGCAGAGGGGGAGGUUGCAUAGACUAUAAACCAAAAAACCCAAACCUGUUGCCAUCGAGUCAAUUCCAACUCAUAGUGACCCUGUAAGACAGAGUAGAAUUGCCCUAUAGUGUUGCCAAGGAGCUGCUGGUGGAUUCAAACUGCCAGCCUUUUAGUUAUCAGUUGAGCUCUUAACCACUGUGCCACCAGGGCUCCACAUAGGAUUAUAAAAAAAAAAAAAAAAUUUUUUUUUUUGAGGUAUAAUUUAUCUCUUUUUAAUUUUAUCUUUUUUGUUAAGUUUUUUUUCAAAGAGUAGGUUUCCUUACACUUGGCUUUACUUCUUACUAAUUUUUAGUCAUCUGUGAGAAUUUUAGUUUCAGUACACUUGUUGGGGAUGAAUACAAAAAGGAAGUUUGGGAUUAGAAAUAGAAGGUAAAAUGAAAGAUCAGUAGCAGACUUGUUUUUCUUUACAAAUUAAUUUUUAGAGGUAAAGAAAGGGUCCCUGGAUGGUGCAAAUGGUUAACACACUCAGCUGGUAACCAAAAGGUUGGAGAUUUGAGUCCACCCAGAGGUGCCUCAGAAGAAAGGCCUUGCAAUCUACCUCUGAAAAAUCUGCCUUUGAAAAUCCUGUGGAACAUGGAGUCGUCAUGAGUCAGAGUUGACUGAACGGCAACUGUUAGAGGUAAAGGAAGUUGAAGGGCGAGGAAACCCAGACCUUGGAAUUAUAUUGCAGUGCCUGUUGACAAGGAGGAAGGAGAGAUGUUAAGAAUUACUGUAACCCUGGAAAUAUCAUAGAAUAAAAACUCUGACUCAUAAAUAAAGGCAUUAAACAUUUAGGUUAAGGACCAAACACAGAGGGAGGAAAAGAUCCCUUUCCUAAGCAUAUGCUUUUUUCUGUUUGUUCAGUGAGUAUAAAUCUGUAGAAAGGUGUUUGUUCAUAUGGUGUUUUCUUAAUUUUAAUAAUACUGUAUUGUGUUUUAGGUGAAAGUUUACACAACAAAUUAGGUUCCUGUUUAACAGUUUUUAUACAAAUUGUUCUGUGCCAUUGGUUACAAUUUUUGCAAUGUGUCAGCAUUCUCAUUUCCAUUCUGUUUGUUCUGUUUCCAUUGAUCUAGCUGCCCUUCUCCACCUUGCCUUCUCAUUUUUGCUUUUGGGUAAAUGUUGACUGUUUGGUCUCAUAUAGUUAAUUGUUUAAGGGAGCACAUUACUUAUGGGUGAUAAUUGUUUAUUUUAUAAGCCAAUCUAUUAUUUGGCUGAAAAGUGACCUACAGAAAUAGCUUUAAAUCCAGGUUCAAAGGCUAUCUUAGGGUGGUAGUCUUGGGGGUUGCUCUAGUCUCUAUCGAUCCAGUAGGUCUGGCUUUUUUUAGGAAUUUGAGUUUUGUUCUACAUUUUUCUCCCAUUCUGUCUGGGACCUUCCGUUGUGUCCCUGGUCAGAACACCCGGGAAUGGUAGCUGGGCACCAUCUAGUUCUUUUGGUCUCAGGUUAGAGGAGGCUAUGAUUUGUGUGGGCAAUUAGUCCUGUGGACUAGUUCCUUCUUUGACUCUUUGAUUUCCCUCAUUCUCUUUUGCUCCAUAUGAGUAGAGGCCAGUAGUUAUAUCUUAGAUGGUCAUACGGUAUUUUUAUGGGAGAUUGUAGGACGUAAGACUAGAAGGUAAGGACCAAACUGCCAAGGGAGUUGAGAGCUAAGCUAAGAAUUCAGUAUUUUAUCUUAUAGGUCAUAUUGAACCAAAAAGAAGACUUUCAAGUGGGAGGUGGACUAAUCAAGCUAAUACUUCCAAAAGUUUUAUCUGGUGGCAUUAUGACAGAAAGAGAAGAAAUGAGCCAGGGAGAAUAUGUAUUUUUGUGUUAAUACAAUAAAUAUUUAUUGAACAACCAAUAUUUGGAUGAUAAAAUUAAAAAUAAAAUGAAAGGGAAGGACAGCUGUGAGAUAUGUUGCAGAGGCAAUUGGCAUUAGCCACUGGGACUUAUACUGGUUGUUAGGAGGAGGAAGAGAUUUAAAAAAAAGAAGGACCCCAAGGUUUUAUCUUGCGUGUCCUAGAGAAUGGUCAGUCCAUUAGCUAAAAACAUGCAAAAGGAACUGUUUGGGAAGUGAAGGGAAAAGAUCUUAUCUUCUAUUUCAAACAGAUUUUUCUUUGAAGCAAUGAUGUGAUGCACAAUUAAAAUAUCUAUUAGAUUGUUGGGGAUGCUAACCUGGAAUGUGGGAGAAAGUUCAGGGCUAAAAGUGAAUUAUCUAGAAGUCACACAUUCAGAUUUAAUAGUUGACGUUUGAGCAGGAACAACAGAAAGGGCUAAGGUAGACACACAUCCUCUGGCUGGCAAGAGGAAGAAAUGUCAUAGGAAGAAUGUUCUGAGAUGGAGAAGAAGCAGGAUCACAGAGUAGUGCAGAAGCUGGGGGAGGAAGUAAUUUCAGGAAGGAUGGUGUGGUCAGCAGAGCCAGGGCCUGCGGAUCGAGGCUAAUGAGUAAUCACCGGAGUAGUCUUGAGCUUAGAAAAUAAAAAUCAAGAUCCAGGAAGAGGAAGAAUGUCAAAAAGUGGGAAGCUGGAAGAAGAGGUAGUUCUAUUGGAUUGCAGGAACUUCAAGUGAUGUUAACUUGAUAAAAAAAUUUUUCCUGGAUGACUAGUAGACAUUUAUCUCUCUUGUGCUUUAUCAAUUUCAAAGACUUUUUUAAAACUAUUGGGGGAAAGAUCAUGUCGUAUUUUUUAUGUAUUACUUUUCAAGUGUCAUAAUUAUUUUUUUCCACAUGAUAUGCACUUCUAAUGCAUGGUUAACUUCUCUCAUUAUCCCAAAAUAGAUUAAGAUAUAUUUGGCCCUUUUAGUUGGAGUCAGAGAACUUUGGUCCAUAUAUGGUUGAUUUAGUGAUACAUGUCCGGUGGCAUUCCAGAGCAAGGAUCUAAAAUGCUGUUUUACUUUCUGUCUGUGUCUAUGGAGCAAACAAAACCAUACCACUUUAAAAUGGGACUCCGCCAUAUUCCACUCCUUGCUUGAUUAAUUUCCGCUGUCUGUCAUAACUUGAUGAAGAGAAGCGUUUUACAGCAAGGGUUCUGAUAGAUGUGAACAUUCAAUGAUCACAGCUUUCUACAAAAGCAUUAAGAUUCUUGUUUUACGCGUCGAGUGUUUGCUUCUUGGCAGUAGUUCAUGGAAUCUGACUAAAUCUAAAACCUUGAAAGACGAGCUUGAAUCAUUUAGGUCUGUAUUGCAAAGGUUAACUUAGUGUACUUGAUUCUUAGUAACAAGCGUCCUGUAUCAGACAUCGUCAUCACCAUCUGUAGUUAAAAACGUCAAUCAGUUCAUUGCUCAAGAACCUUUUACAAAACUGGGAUUGUAACAAGACCAUAACUGGUUGGCUUGUCCUCUGGAUCACUGGGUGGAGCAAAAGGUUAACAUGCUCGCCUGCUCACCAAAAGUUUGGAGGUUCGAGUCCACCCAGAGGCACCUCAGAAGAAAGGCCCGGUGAUCUACUUCUGAAAAAUCAGCCACUGAAAGCCCUAAGGAGCACAGUUCUCCUCUGACGCACGUGGGGUCACCGUGAGUUGGCGUUGACUUGACAGCAGUUGGUUUUUGUCUUCUGGAAGCCCUUGUUCAUUUGUUGGUUCACUCACUUAACAUUUGUUGAGUACAUGUAUACUUUAUGCCAAGGUGAAGUUAAGGAAAAUCACUGCCUGUAGUGUUCUUCAAGACUAGUAUCUUUACAGUAAGUACAGAGAAUUGCAAUGCAGUAUAGUAAAUGCUGUAGUAGCAGUAAGCAUAGGGGGCUAUAGGAAGAAAGAGUGACUGGAGUGUGAUAAAGAGAGAGGUGAAAAUGAAGUUGGAGAUAGUGUACAGCAUACAAGAUGCAGGAGACAGUUUAUGAAAAUCCUUAUAUGACUUGCUGAAGAAUCUAAAUUUUAUUCUGAAGCCAGUGACCUACAGUGAAUUAUUUUAAAUAGACAGGACAUGGUCAGCAUUGUGUUACAUGUCAGAUGUUGUUGUUGUUAGGUGCUGUCGAGUCAUUUUCUACUCAUAGCAACUCCAUGUGACCAAGUAGAGCUGCCCCAUAGGGCUUCCUAGGCUGUAACCUUUAUGGAAGCAUAUCGCCAGGUCUUUCCCGCUCAGAGCAGAUGGUUGGGUUUAAACCUCUAACCUUUCGGUUAGCAGCUAGUGCUUAACCAUAUGUGUCAGCAGGGCCCCUUACAUUUUGGAUAGGGUGAAGAAUAUAUUUAAGGAGGAGUGGAAUCUGGAGGCAGGAAGGCCAGUUAAGAGACUAUUACAGUAACUGAGGUACGUAGAGGGUCUAAUUUAAGGUACUAAACCCGUUGCUGUCCAGUCGAUGCCGACUCACGGCCACCCUAAAGGACAGAGUAGAACUGCCCCAUAGGGUUUCCAAGGAGCAGCUGGUGAAUUCGAACUGCCAACCUUUUGGUUAGUAGCCGUAGCUUUUAACCACUAUGCCACCAGGGUUUCCAAUUUAAGGUACUAGCAAGGUGGAAAUAGAAAAGAGAAAUUGAAUUUGAGAGGUAUUGGGAGGUAGCGGUAACCAGUCGACUAGAAGCAGUGGGCGGGAAAGAGGGAAUAAAAGACAGGGUAGAGUCAGGGAUAAGUUUCUGGCUGAAAUACCUAGGCAACGGUGGUACGUCAGUCAGUGGUGUCAGCCUUUGGCCAUCUCUGACACGAGGUUGCAACAGCUGAAUCAUCAGAGGCUGGCUCAGUCCGUGACAUGAAUCCUACCUGGUCAUCUUUGAAACCAACAAUGAAAUGGCUUGUGGCCUCCUAAAACGGAGACCUUUGGAGUAGUGUUGAAUAGGCAUGAGUCAGGUUUCAUAGGUUGGAACUCUCAGACUUCGUCGGGAUUCUGGAGGACGCAUGCUUGCUGUUUUUGCGGUGGGAUACCCUUGUGGUGCUGGUUUUCAGACCUGCCGUUUAAUAACUCUGUGAUCGUAUGCUUUGCGUUUCACCCUAAUGAUUAUUAUACUUAGCACUUUGUAUCUUCAAAGAACUCAGCAGCAUUAAAUAAUUAAUCUGCAUAAUAUCGCUGUGAGUUAGUAGGUGGGGAUUAGUGCCCCAUUUUCCAGAUGAGAAAACCCAGAUGUACUCAGUGACUUGCCCAAGGCUAUACAGCCUCGCAUGGGCAGGACAGAAUUUUGAAUCUGCACUUUCCUUUAUCUUAUCACACUUGUACUAGAAGUUUAUUGUCAGUCUUAACUUAUUAUGCCAUGUUUGCCGUUUCACUUAUUCAUAAGUCUCAGCAUUUAGAUCUAGAAAAAGGUUAAGCGGAGUACAGGGAAGAGUGAAGGUGGCCAAAUGACUAAGCCCUGUGUGUGUGUGUGUCUGUGUGUGUGUCCAUGUGCGCGAGUAGACAUGUGCAUUUCUUGGGAAUAGUCAUUUUUAAACCAGAUCUCAACUCCUAGACCUCAUUUCAUCUAGCAGACCAGCCAGUCACAGUGUCAUGGAGUCUCCUGUGGCAUUCUAGUGUACCUUUAACAGUAUAUACGGAUAGCAGUAAAACAAUUGUUAUUGAAAUUGCCCUUUUUUUUCUCAUAAGGCAGCGUGGUGUGGUAGAAAGAGAACUGACUUUGGAGCUAGACAGACCUACCUUGAAAUUCCUCCCAAGAGAGAGCUGGGUGACAAGAGGCAGGAUGCUUAUCCUUCAGCUGUGUGUGAGGGUCAGAUGAUGAUGAUAUAUGUCAACUGCCUAGCAUGGAGCCAGCACCUAAUUAUUGCUCCAUAAAAGGUAGCUUCUAAUUUUAUCAAUACUGAAGGGGCCAUUGAUUUUGCUGUUGAACGACAAGAUCGGGUAAAUUCAACUUUUCAGGAAUUAUUGUCUCAUAAGGAAACCAGUGAAACACUUUGAUACUGAGUCAACCAGAUACUGGUAUCAUCCCUUAUUCACUGACAAAUAUGGGAAGGUAAUUUCAGUAGGUCAGUCAUCAGUGUGUGCCUUCCAAAACAUUAUAGUCAUGUUACAGUAAACUUUUUAUAUUGUUGCGUCACAAAGAUUUAUUGAAGUGAUAAAAGUUAUUAUGGAAAACAGUGUGCGGUAACCGUGGCAACAGUUAUUUGAUCUCACAGUAAUUAGCUAAGCAUGUACUUGCGCAACACUUUCACAAUGCCUUCCUGGUUAGUUCAUUACACAAAAUUAGCUUUUGUUUGAACGGCCUUCCUACAGUCUCCUAAACUUGUUUUUAGUUUAAAAGAAUUGGAAAGUGUGUUUUAAAACCACCUUUCCAACUUGCAGUUUAUGGACAUAUUUGAGGUUGCAACUGGUUUUUAUGUAACUCUUUAUUUGUACUACAGUAUGAUGAUGAUUCAUCGGAUUCAUCUAUGAAGUGUUGCUUUCGGUUUAGUAGAGUGGACUAAGACUUGGUCAGUAAAGUUGGACACCAGUUUCUUAAUUCUGACCCCCCUGUACCUGGCUCAAAUGGCAGAUUUUGUUCACUGUUCUUCCUGUUACUUAGUUUCUGUUCUUGUGAAAUGGUUGCUGUAUGAUAAGUGCUGGAGUCGUGAAAUCACACAGAAUGGUCAUUUCCUGGCAGUCUGUUUGUCACCUGAGGGACCUGGGGCUAGAAGAUGCCCAGGCUUUUCUGGAGCCUUCUCUUCCUCCUCUAGGUGCCUCUCUGCCCUGUUCAGCAUAACUGGUGCUGGGCUCCAUCCGGUACCUCUCUUUUUGCAAAGUGGAUUGUGUGACAGAUGAUUCACCUGAAUGAUGUCAUCCUCGGAGGACUUUCAGAGACCUUGGGGCAGUGGCCUCUCAAACUGCAUUCAGGAAAGACGAAUCUGCUCUACACCCCCUCCCCACUCACCCCCGAGAUGCAGGUGAGGCAUAACCUAUCCUGUUUGGAAGAUUGGAGAUUCCUAAGCACAAGGGAGGAAACCCUGGUGGUAUAGUGGUUAAGAACUCCAUCUGCUAACCAAAAGGUCGGCAGUUCGAAUCCACCAGGCACUCCUUGGAAACUGGGGCAGUUCUGUUCUGUCCUAUAGGGUCGCUAUGAGUUGGAAUUGACUUGACGGCAAUGGGUUUGGUUUGGUUUUUUGAAGCACAAUGGAAACCCUGGUGGUGUAGCGGUUAAGAGCUACAGCUGCUAACCAAAAGGUCAGCAGUUUGAGUCCACCAGGGGCUCCUUGGAAAUCCUGUGGGGCAGUUCUACUCUGUCCUAUAGGGUUUCUGUGAGUUGGAAUCCACAAUGGGAAGCACACCGGAAAGCUACAAGCAUUCAGGAUUUCAAAACAAAAAAAAAAUGCAAGGAAAAUAAUUUUAACUUAUUUGCUAAGAAUGAGGGGGUUCCAAAGAAAACUAGCAAAAAAGGAAUUUUAGGGGAAAAAAAUCAGUUUAAGUCCCUUGUAUUGAUUUCAUUUUAAUUCCUGUCAGCUCAACUCUGGUUUGGUUGUUGUUUUUUAUUUAAGUUCAAUUUAAUUUUUUUUAAUAAUACUAGCUUUUUUAAAAAUAAUACUAGCUUUUAAAAUCCAGUUGCUUUCUGAGAUUAUUUAAUCUCUUGAUUAAAUAGAUGUCAUCUGCCAGUUUUCAGUUAGGCAAAUCGUUUUGCAUGUGGGCUAUAACAAACAUUCCUGGUUCUCUGCAGGUCUACCUAAUUAGGUUGUUUUUUUUUUCUAUCCAGAAUAAAUAUAUCUUCAGUUUCACUGACCAUGAUUGGAAUUCUAAUGAUGAUAACCUAUUUGAUCUUGAUUGGUCUUGUUUGCUUGUUCUUUGACCAAUCUGAUGAUAAUAAAACUAAUAACAACAGAAUAAUAAGCUAUCUUAGGUGGCUUCAGUGCCUAACUCAUGCUGUUUUCUCAUCUCCCCCAUCCGUGCUUUCAUCCUGUUUGGCAUCUCAACUGAAAAGGCACCUACCUGAAGGCGUUAGUCAGCCAGAGCUCUACCUCCCGCUCCAGGGCCUCUGCCCUGCUGUAGAGCUCUGGGUCUCUGCCAAAGAAAUGAAGAGCAAAUGGAAGCUUGCAGAGGUCACUCAGCUAGUAAGUGAAAGAGCUUCCUGUCCUUCACAGACCUGCCCAAAUGCUGUCACUUCUGUAAAUUCUUGUGUUAUCCCCCCAACUGUGACCACUGCACCACACAACUCUGGGGGACCCCAUUCACGUGGGCUACAGUGUCAGUGGCACCCCCAGAGCUGUGAGACUCGGUAGCCUUGGUAACAUCUCCCUCAGUAUUCCUCACGGCAGUUACCGCGCUCUGCCCGACAACACGCUCCGCCUGACAGCCUGUGUGCAAGCCCUAUUUCCCCUGCUGGGUUUUGAGAUACUUGAGAGAGGGCAAGUGCUUUCUUCGUCUUUGUGUACCCUGUUGGACCUCACAAAAUGGUUGUUGAAUGACCGGCUGUCCUGUCUGCUAUUUUACAGUUUGAGGCCCUGUGACGUGGGUUCUAUCAACCGUCCUCUUUCUUGCCUAAGUUUCCUCCCUCUACGUUCACGCUGGCGUCUUUCCUGCCCAUUUUGGAGGAAACCACAUACCUCCUGAAAUUGCCUCUUUCUAGCUCCUGCAGUCAAGGUCAUGAUGUUCAUGAGGUACCGUGGAGUGGACACGAUGGCCCAAGGACCUUGAAAAUGUUGGAGAUCUUGAAAAAAAAUUAUUGGCUCCAAAAUGCAAAAAGAAAAGUAGAAUCAAAAAUACAUGUUUAAGCAAGCCAAUAUAAAAUAAAAUAUUUUGUCAUCUUAAGUGUUUAACAAUAAUUGCUGGGAAACCAUGCCAAGAAAACCCAAAACCAAACCUGUUGCCAUCGAGUCGAUUCCGACUCAUAGCGGCCCUGUAGGACAGAACAGAACUGGCCCACAGGGUUUCCAAGGAGCACCUAGUGGAUUCGAACUGCUGACCUUUUUGGUUAGCCGCUGAUCUCUUAACUACUGCACCACCAGGGCUGCAGAAAUUUAUAGAAAUCAUAACAAACUAUAAGUUAAAUGAGUAACUGAUACCCAAAUAAUUUCAGGAACAAAAAAUAUAAAAAUUCUUAAAAAUGAUUUGGCCGGGAGAUUAUUUUAGUAUGGGAUGUGGAUAUAAGUUUCAAUAUGCUUGAAACGAUGUUGAGGGAGGAGCCUCUAAAAAAUAAACAUACUUGGGAUCUUGAAAAAAACUUAUAUGGUCUGCAGUGCUGUGCACAUAGCCCAAGAAAUACUUGCUGGAUUUUAACUGGUAUUAAAAUCAGAUGAUUACAGUUAAAUGAUGCUUAAAAUUAAAAUAAUCACAGUUGCAUGAUGGUGGACCCUAGUGUUGUAGAAGGGAGGGUGCGUGAGUAUUUAAUUCAGUUUUAUUAUUUUAUUUUUUGGAUAAAAAGAAAAAAAGAGUGAAGGGAACUUCCCAGUCAGGAGGAACGAGUGCCACAUUUCUGCAGACAUGUCGUGCAAUCUUUGGGGCCCUCAGAUGGCUCCAGGUGGGCAUCCUGAGCCCUCUGUUCUGGCCCUCCACUUUGUUGGCCACCCUGUCUGGUUCCUUCAGAGCAUUGGAAGUUGGGGGUGGCACAGAAGCCCUCCGGGCAGAGUGCUGGAGCAGAUGAGGCAGAGGGAUGCAGUAGCCAGGUCCUGCCAACAGUCAGGGCACGAAGGCACGUGAGACGCUUUUACUGUUUGCUUCUGGAAGGCAGGCCGGAACUGACCUUUCACUUGCCCUUCGUACCGGGAUGACUCAAAGUGCUGAUCCAUUGUUUUCUGGACUAACUGUGUAGUGACCAUGUUGACAGUGUGGCAGGGCCAUUUCCUCUGCAGUGAGUACUGAGUAUUUGAAAGUUGACUUUUGGUAUGCUCUUGCGUUGGCUCGGUGGGGGUUUUCUAAUCUUUUGUUUCUUUUUCUUUUUGUUCUGUAAUAUAAAUUGCCGUUCCAAAAGCUGAUGUUUGCUUUAAGCUGUUCAGAAACUGCUAUAGACCUAAAUAGCUUUCAGUAAAAAAAAAAAAAAAAAAAUAGCUUUCAGUAGCUAUAUAUAAAGGAGCCCCAGUAGUGCAGUGGUUAAGCCCUCUGCUGCUAACUGAAAGGUUGGCAGUUGGAAUUCACCUAGGGACUCCUCAGAAGAAGAGACCUGGCAAUUUGCCCCUGUAAAUAUUACAGAUGAGAAAAUGCUAUGGGGCAGUUCUGCUCUGUCACAUGGGGUUACUAUGCGUUAGAAUCAACAGCAUUCAGCAACAGCAAAGCUAUAUAUAGUGUUAGUAUGCCAUUGCUGUAGAAGGUUCACACCUGAUGUAUCUCCUUAAUAACCAUAUCACGAGGAAUCAUCUCACAAUGAGAACCAGGAUAGAAUUGAAAUUGAGGCACAUUCAGCUGGAGGUUAGAGUCAUAGUUAAAGAAGUGAAAAUAUAAAGCAUAUUAAAUAUAUCUUGUAUUUGUAUAGUCAUGAUAGUACAUCUAUAACCACCCAUGGAGUUGGGUUUUUUUUUUUUCCUUUUUUUUAAUAUAUGGAUUCAUGUGAUCUACCAUCUCUAAAAGUUUAGAACUGUCAGUUAAAUUUAUAUAUACAUCUUUCAAAGGAAAUCAUCAAAAAGGACAUUCCACUCUUAUUACAAAGCUAUUUUAGGGGUAAAUAUUUUGAUGGAUGUGGUUCAGUGCACCUGGAAGCUGAGACAUGGCGGAGCCCGAGGCAGUUAGCACAGAUGGAGCCUGAGAUAUUUCAAGGGCUGUUUUUCCCCCCAUAUAUAUUGCAAAUGGCUGCAUUGUGGUAGCAUGAACACUAGUGUUCCCUAUGCCACUGUCAGAAAAGGAGCUUCCUUGUGAAGAAUGGUCUUUUUAACAACGGUAACAACCACACUAAGAUUUCUCUCGCAAAUAACUUUACGAUGCAGUAUGUUAUGAUAUGAACAUUUUAUUAAGUAGAAGUACUAGUGAGAAUCAAGUCAGUAACUGGUAUGAGUGAAGUCAGCAUAUAUUUGUACCAGGUACAAUGUAAGUGUUUAGGAUGAGGGGAUUUGCUGGUCAGAAGGCAGAAAGAUGUGUUAAAGUGGAAAGAUUGCUACUUUGAUUUUUCUUUCUUGAAGCUUAGAGUUGAACCACUAAGCCGACUUAAUCCUAACUUAUAAUUUAUUAAAAUAAUUAAGUACGUCUUUCAACGUUGUUGUUAAAAAAUAAGCAUACACAUUUAAAAGUUUGGCUGCUUUCCCUACUUGCCUGUCUUCUUGGUAGGCGGAUGGCUUGUUAAAUGACGUUUUAAGAUUAUAACUUUUUCGCUCCCUUUGAGCUAAAGUCCUAUCUUUCAUCAGCCUUAGAAGGUUUGUCUUAUGAAGAUGGUAUGUUACAUGACUUCCGUUCUUCCCUCAUCAUUAGAGAAAUGACUUAAUAUUCCCGGUGCAGUCAUUGCAUUCUUCGUAAGUGAGCAAGAAAUGGCUUGAACCAUAUAACAAUGAGCAUGUACUUUAUUUCUCAUUUUUCAUUUUCCUGUUGGAUAUAAGUUCCUCGAGGGCAAAAACUAUCUUUAUGGCCUCAUUUAGCAGUCGUUGAAUAAAUGCCGAAAGCCUCAUUGCUAAGAAAGCAACAGUUUCCUUUCACACCCCAAACGCUAUCAGCAAUCAAGUGGUAAAGAUGAUCUUUUGAAGAGCUCACCCAAGCUGUCUUUAUUAACACCACAAACGGGAACAUGGAUAAUGAAACCUGCAGCUGUCGAGUCGAUUCCAACUCAUAGCAUUCUCUACUCUCUCACUUUGCUAGAAGUUGGUCCAUUGUGGACUUAGUCUUGUGUUUCUAGAGAGAACUAGGCCCAAAUACUCCCUCAGAGAAAGCCUCCAUAAUUCAGCAAUUGAAUUUGGCUUUCUAAAAAGUGUUCCUAAACUGAUGAAAUGUCCUUUCAAAACAUUUACCUAAAAUGUCCCGUGACUGCAGCAUCUGCUAAGCCUAUUGUGUUCUUUCAUUAAACCAUUUUAUUGUGCUGUGUGCAGACUGCUCAUUUGAAGCCAUAAAGCUGAGCGGACUGCAGGCUUUCUAAUAAGCAGGAUUUUUUUUUUUUUUAACAAUGAGAGAAACUGCAUCAUACAUAAUAUUGAAACAAAAAAUUCCUUUUCAAAAAUGAUCCUGUUAACCCCAUUUAAAAAAAAAAGUCUCUGAAGCCCUGCUGAUGACAACACAGACUGAUGUUGAAUGAUGUUGAAUGUGUAACUCCUGCAGUGCUCUUGACCCCUCCUCCAUUUUGUAGGUGUCUGUCUGUAGAUUCUUUAUUUUAAGGUGCAGGCGUCAGUAGCAGUUCACCAACUAGUUGCGGAAAUAUUUUUAUUAUAAAAUCCAAACUUAGGUAAGGAAAAUCUGGUUAUAGAUCAGCAUCAUUCAUCUACUGUGUUUGGAUUAAGUAGGCAUGUUUAAUUUAGUGAUUUAAAACAAUCUCAAAUGCCUAUCUGGCUGGCUGCUGCCCUGCCAGCCCUGGGGCUUCCUGAAGAGGAGCCCAGCUGCAGAGACCACAGACUUUCAGGAAGAAAACCCUGCCCACCGCCCCAGAAGGGGUCAGUGAAUGCAUGUGUCGGCUUUCCGUUUGCCUGCAACCCUUGUGCCAAUUAUAAGUAGCUUAACAUGGCUUUAGAGAAUUCAGAGUUUUUGCCGAUGACAGUCUGUCUUCUUAAAACAAACAGAUGAGAUACAGUUAGCUAUUUGCCCAAGCUGUGCAGGGCACUGCAAAACAACCGCACAGGUCAUUCGACCUGGUGCCAAUGAAAGGACACUGGCCCGGUUUGUCAUUUUUGUGAUGGUGCUUUAAUACUGGGGACAUUGUUGUUUUGGAGACAACUGAACCAAGUGGAGAUUGAGCUAUCAGUUUAUUUUAUCAGCUGAGGCAAAGAUGAAAGCUCAGCCACUAAAUGGCUAAAAUAUCAAUGUGUUAUGCAGCAAGCUGGCAGAGCAGACCAUUGGGUGCACUGAGAGAGUGACUCAGGAAUCUCGGAAGGCUCCGGUGUGCUUCCAAAUCUCCCUCCACAGUCUGUCCAGCUCACAGUUUGCAAACUCAAAAUCCUACAGGGGCCAGGGAUGUGAAUGGGUAAAGCUGAUCACUGGAAACUGGUGAGCUAGGCGGCAAGAACAAGAAAACAAAUUAUUUUUUUAAAUUUUCAACAGAAUAUACACAGCAGAAACAUAAACCAAUUCAAGUUUCUACAUGUACAAUUCAGGGACAUUGAUUACACCCUUCAAGUCACGCAACCAUUCUCAACCUCGUUUUCUGAGUUGUUCCUCCCCCCUUAAUAUAAACUCAUUGUCCCUUAAGGGUCCUAUCUAAUCUUUCGAGUUACUGUUGUCAAUUUGAUCCCAUGGAGACAGAUCUUAGAAGAACCUUAAUGCUCAAGGCAGACGUUCUUUACUAGUUAAGCUAAACUACUGUUUGGUUUUAAGAAGGCUUCAGGGAAUUUUCUGGUUUAAGGUUUAAAAAUUACUUUAGGGCAGUAGUUUUGGGGGUUCAUCCAGCCUCCAUGAUGUAAAUUUGGACUUUUAAUGAAAUCUCUUAAUUUUAAAAUAUUAGCUAUUGAUUCAAAUUUUGAAAGCAAUGUGUAGCUGAACAAAACCUAUCUGCAGGCUAAAUACACAUAGUUGGUAGGUCACAUACUGGCCUGUGCUCUAACUAAUCCCCUUUAUUCCAGAGUCAGUACUUACCCUUUUGAUUUCUCACUUUUGACUAUUAAUUUUAAAACACAGAUAUCCCUGAGACAGCCAGUACUUCUUCAGUCCACAUCAAUGAAGAUUUGUUCAUUUCCAUUAAGGUCAAUCCAGCACAUUUACUGUGCAUUGUCUCUGUAUUGCACUCAACUUCUAACCUAAAGGUUGGCGGUUCUAACCCACCCAGCAGUGCUGCAGAAGAAAGGCCUGGCAAUCUUCCAUGAAAUUAACAGCUCAGAAAACCCUAUGAAGCACAGUUCUACUCUGUAAGACAUGGGGUUGCCAUGAGUCAGAAUUGACUUGAUGAUAAGUUUGGUUUUGUUUGUUUGUUUGCUUUCUAUGUAUAAUGCACUGUGCUUGGGCCCUGGCGAUAAUGACAGCCGAUGCCUUCAAAGUAUCAGUCUGAUACCAGUGACCUGUUAACACAUGCAUGGAGCCCCCAGUGUGGAGCCAUCUUGGGCAACCCUGGGCUCUUGCUCUUGCAAACAUUUAUUACAUAUGAAUGCAAACUGUGAAAACAGAUUUGAUGAGCGUAGCUAUGCUAUUAUAAGAAGGCAGUAUCAACAUGAUAGUUGAAAGAGCAGAUCUUUUAAUGACAAACUGCCUAGACUAGAACCCUGAUUCUGCUUCUGGGUACCUUUGUGACUUUAGGCAUAUUAUGUAAUCUCUAAUCUGUCUUUGGUCUCACUAUCCACAUCUGUAAGUGAGGAUAGUAAUAAUAUCUACAUUAUAGUGUUGUUGUGAUGAUUCAAUAAGAUAACGAUAUGUGUUAACUCUAGCACAAUGCUUGCAGCAUGGUAAAUGCAUAGUAAUUAUUAACUACUGCUGCUGCUGUUGUUUUUAAAUAAGAAAGCACUGAAUUUAGAAUGUAGACUCAAGACCCAGAUUUAAGCUCCUGUUCUGCCUCUUAGUAGCUAUGACUGACGGAAUUGCUUCACUAGCCUCUGUGAAUAUCAGUAAAAUUAGAAUAACAUAAAGAUUAAAUGGGAUUACAGGUAGUCCCCAAUUUGCAACGGGUUCCGUUCCGGCAACUCCAUCAUAAUUCAGUUCUGACAUAACUCAAAUACCUCGUUUUUUUUUUUUUUUUAGUUUUCAUUAUUAUUGCCUUUUAUUAUCAGUAUCUGUAUAAACCUUAGCACUGAACAUCUUCGUGUGAACAUCUGAGAACGAUGACAUCAGCAAAUCAUGCCCUGCAACAUUGUAUGUAGUACGUAUCACUAACGAUCAUAUGUACCCCCUCAAAAAAAACCAGAUGGUCAUAAAUGCGGCUCACUGUAACUUGACCUGUCAUAAGUUGAGGACUGCCCGUAUGUAUUAUACCACAUAAAGAGAUCCACAAAAGAAAAGUGUUACGUGUUGCAGGGGGACAGGCACUUCCUGCACCAACACAGCACAGUCACCAUGGAGACAGUAGAGGAACCAGGGCCCAUUCUGCCCUCUCACAGUUCUGACUCAGGUGCCCUGACCCACGCCCUGUCCCGGUUAAUGCUAUUGACUCUAGAAUGAGUAAAACAAACGUUCAGGAAGUAAAAAUCAUGCUUCUGGGUACCUCUACUUUGUUAAAAGGAGUCCCUGGCACAGGAAUGGAUUACCCAGUAAGCAAGGUAGGCAUGUGCUGAGGGCAUCAACAGAACAGGGGCACCAGUUGUUCAAACCAAAGGACCCAUAGAUGCCAUGUAGACAGGGCACAAGGAAAAGUGAUCGCACAACAAUGAUUCAAGAACAACUCGAUUCAUUAUUCUUAUUAUGAAUGGAAGUAGAUAAAAUUAAAGAGUAAUUUGUUGUAAUAUUUGCUUUUUGAUCAUUAAAUUUUCUUUUAUGACAUCUUUUCAUUUGUUCAUUUAUAAUUAUAACAUUUAUUAUGAAACAAGCAUCAAAAUUGAAGUAUGAGCUGUUUAAAACAAAUUGGUGAACAUCAGUUUUUCAUUGUGGGAGAGCAACAGGAUUUUACUAAAGUUCACUGGCUCAUUUUCUUUGUUGUAGAAUAUGUGGAAUAUUCUUUUUGUAGAAAAUGUGGUACAGUAGUCCCCCCUUAUCCCCAAUUUCAGUUACCUGUAAUCAACCUCAGUCUGAAAAUAUUAAAUGGAAAAUUCUAGAAAUUAACAAUUCAUAAGUUUUAAAUUGCUCACUGUUCUGUGUAGUGUGAUGAAAUCUCGCACUGGCCCACUCCAUCCUGCCUAGGACAUGGAUCAUCCCUUUGUCCAGCAUAUCCAUGCUGUAUAAGCCACCUACCCCAUUAGUAGCUGUCUCAGUUAUCGGAUCGACUGUCUAGGUAUCGCAGUGCUUUGUGUUCAAGUAACCCUUAUUUUACUUCAUAAUUGCCCCAAAAUUCAAGAGGAGUGAUGCUGGCAAUUUGGAUAUGCCAAUAAGAAGCCAUAAAAUGCUUCCUUUAAGUGAAAAGGUGAAAGCUCUCGACUUAAUAAGGAAAGGAAAAAAUUGUAUGCUAUGGUUGCUUAAAAUUAUAAGCUUUAUAAUUGUUCUAUUAUUAUUGUUGUUAAUCUCCUACUAUGCCUAAUUUAUAAAUUAAACUUUAUCAUAUAUAUGUACAUAUAGGGAAAAACAUAGUAUAUGUAGGGUUCGCUACUAUCUGUGGAUUCAGGCAUCCACUUCGAGUCCUGGAAUGUAUCCUCCAUGGAUAGGGGGGCUACUGUAUAUAGUAAAAAUCUUGGUACCCUGCAUCCACUAAAAAUUUUGUAAUCUGGUUCAUCUCAUUCUGCUAAAAUGAAAUACACCGCUUUUGUGUUCAAUUGCUAAUAUUACAGGCACAUUUAAAGAGAAGUUACAUUAUGAAUAACUAAGGUAUACACACACGUAUAUAUCUAACUCAAUAUCCCAUUUGACUGCAUGAGUAAGCAGAGAAGGGGGCACCACCAAUUAUCAGUGCUUAGGGCCCUCAAAUCCCUUAAUCCAGCUCUGCCUGGGUGGCACAAACGGUUAAGUGGUUGCCUACUUCACUGGAAGGUUGGUGGUUCCAACCCACCCAGAGGUACCUUGGCAGACAGGCCUGGCAAUCUGCUUCCAAAAGGUCACAGCCUUGAAAACCCUAUGGAGCAGUUUUAGUCUGCACACAUGGGGUCACAUGAGUCAGAACUGGUUCCGUGGCAACUAACAACAACAGCAACUUUGUUAACAAUAUUUCCUAAAGAAAGAAUACCCCUUUGAGUCACAAACUCCCAUAUUAAACUUGUUUUAGAUGAGCUCCAAACUGUGGCUUCAGAGAGUGAGAAAUUCCAACGGCAUAGCCUGGGAUUGUGAGACCCACAAUCCAAUGUAAUACUCCUUAUUUUAGAAAUGAGGAAACAGGACCAAGCGAUUACGUCCUUUAUCCAAGAUCAUUGAACCAGUGGUCCUUGCACUACCCUGAGAGAUUUAGACUCAGUCAUAUUUGGGAUUUCCACGUCUCUCUGACCCCCCACAUUUUUUGAAGACAUGUCACAUAAAUUUAUUUCAGUGUCUUUAAGUUGGAGCCCUGGUGGCAUAGUGUUUAAGAGCUCGGCUGCCAACCAAAAGGUCAGCAGUUUGAAUCCACCAGCCGCUCCUUGGAAACCCUAAGGGGCAGUUCUGCUCUGUCCUCUAGGGCCACUAUGAGUGGGAACCAACUCGUCAGCACCUAACAACAACAGCAUCAUCUUUAAAUUGCUUCAAAGUAAAUGACAGAAUGGAUAUGAAGGCACUUACACUAUUUCUACACGAUGCUCAAUAAAUGUUCCUUGAAUCUGAAUCUAAAGAACUUUACUAGAUCACUUUAUUCUGUGAUAAUAUUAGAAUAAAAUAAUAUAUUGAGCAAAACAAAACAAAAAAAUGGUGUAGUCCAGAGUAAACUUUGUUUUGUAGGGAAAAAAAAAAAAAGAACAUUACAACCAAAUGAAAAUAAAUUGAUCAAGACAGUAAAAACCUUGUUCCCCUCUUGGAGCUUGUGGGAAGAGAGCCUAAUUUAUACACAUCCUUUUUAUAGCCCAUGUGCUAAUUGACUCAGAGAGAACACCUGUGUCAUUUAUUUUUAAAAAUCUUACUAAAAUCUACAUCUUAGUGAAAUUCUAGGAAAGACUAGCAACAGCUGGCCCCACAUCUGUUUGAAUGAUGCAGCGUGAAAAGGAUUCUAAAUAUAGUUGGAAUUGGACUCCAGUGUACGUCUGUGCUGUACUACAAAGUGUCAGUUGAACUAGAUCUGAAGGAGCUUAUCAUUAAAAUAACCUAAAACUAAAAUGGUGUGGUUUGCUCUGGAAAGCAACAAAUAUUUACCUUUAAGCAAUCUUUGGUAGUAAACUUGAAAUCUAACUGGUCCAUUCCCACUUGCCAGCUGGAGAGAAAGAUUAUACCAGAGCUUAGGAGAGGAAAAAUAAAUCACAUCAGUGUGAGAAAGUUGAUUUUUACAAGAAGUCUUCAUCACAUCCAGUAGCUUAGAAAUGCCUUGUUUUUAUUCUUCUCAGUCCUUGAGUCUCGAGACACUGGACUUAGCGGGCUGUCAGCAUGCAUCCUUCCUUCCCUUCCCGUUUUUUCCUUUCCUCCCUCUCCCUUCCUUCUUCUCUCCUUCCCUUGCUUACUUUCUUCCUUCUUUCAACAAAUAUUUCUUAAAUGCCCACUCUGUACCAGGGACUUUUUAUACCCUGAGGAUGCAGAGAAGGAUAGGGUAGAUGUCGUUUCUACUCUCAUAAUGUUUUAAAGUCUAAGUGAUAUAAUGGAUAAAACCUAGUGCCUUAUUAUACUUUAAACAUGUACAUUUAGCCCUGGUGGUGUAGUGGUUAAGAACUUGGCGGCUAACCAAAGGGUCGGCAGUUCGAAUCCACCAGUGCUCCUUGGAAACCCUGUGGAGCAGUUCUUUUCUGUCCUAUGGGGUCACUAUGAGUCAGAAUCAACUCAAUGGAAAUGGGUUUUUUUGUUGUUGUAUCUAUAAAGCUCAUAGUAGUACCUGGCACACAGGGCAUGGGCUAUAAAUAUCAUCUAUACAUGCACUGAGUUUACAGAAGUAAGAAUACAAGGUGCUGUGGGGCCUGUAACAGCAGACCAAAUUUAAUAGCUACCAUUUAUUGAGCACUUAUGAUAAGCCAGGAAUUCUUCGUGUAUAUAUAUAUAUAUACAUUUGUCAUAUUUAGUCAUUACAACUUUCCAAGGAUAAGAAUUAUUAUCCCAAUAAACAAGUGAGGAAGCUGAAGCUGCAGCUCAAUGCGGGCAAGUAAGUUGUCCAAGGGUUACGUGGCUGAUAAGUGACUGAGUCAGGGUUCAAACUCAGGUUUGUCUUGACUAAAACUUGAGUCCUUAACCAUUGGGAUUUACUGGAGAGUCUCAUGUGUGCAUCUCCAAGGUCAGUUGCCACAGGCCACUCCAGGCGAUGGUGUCACUAGCAGCACCUCUGAUGCCUGAUAAACUGAUUUGCACUCACCUCUCAGCACCUCACCCUCUGGCUUCUUCCCAUGGUUCACAACACGACUACUAAGGAAAAAAAAAAAUGUCAAAAGGAAUUAAUCAUCAGGAAAGACUGAAGGGCUUUGCCUUAAUGCUUAUUUUCCUUUGUAUUGAUAUGUCUUUACAACGGUAACAACACUAACGGAAAUUAUUCAAUGGACAAUCUCUUUCAAAUUUGCCCAAUUUUCAGAGCCUUUAAAUAGCAUCUUAUAUGUGUGUCAUCCACCUUAUAUUUGCAUAGUGCACUCUACUAUUGAAAGCAUUUUCGUGCCCAUGAAUUUGCUUAAGCCUCACAAUCUAGGCAGUAGCAUCACUUCUUUCCAUUUUGUAGAUGAGGAAACUGAGGCCUAGAGCAAAGAAGUUGCCUAAAGCCAAUAGUUCAUUUCUAGCAAAGUGGGAACUCAAACUCUGGUCUGAUUCCUUUGCGUACUGAGAAAAUCAGUUUAUGUAGUGAUUGUACGCCCCUGGACUGAGGGCCAUGUUUUGUUGUUUAUCCCAGAACUUUAGGAGAUGCUGAGGAGGGGUGAGCUUCUCUGACCUCACCACAUACAGGAAACCUUGAGGUUAAUAAGAUACAGAAUCUGCCUCCUGGUCUCUGGUGUUGCCCCGAGCCCAGUGUCACUGUUUUGAGCCUGCUGCUGCUGGCUAGAGACAACUGAAAACUAAAAUUUAUUAAAAUAGAGUACCUAAUUAGGACAGCUUUCUCUGCCAGGCCCUUUUCAAUCAGUUGUCUUCUCUCCAAUAUCAUUAGUCUUUCCAUCUCUGCUGGCUUUCUUCUCAGCUUAGAAACCCACUCAAAUCUUUCUCUUUAAAAUGACAGGUAGGUAAGGUAGACAGACAGAUAUUGUCCUGCAUUUUGUUAAUGCCCUUCUCUCCCUUUCCCUUCUCAAGCACCUUCUUAAAAGAGUGGUCUGAAUUCCCAGACACCCCGUGCUCACUUCCAUUCACUCCUCAACCAUGACCACCUGAUCUCCGACCCAGUCCAGUGAACCCCUCUGGAAAGUAUCUCCAGUGGCCUGAAGGUGGCCAGAUUUCUCAGUCCAGGUCUUACUGAGCCUCUUUGCUUCAUUUAAAAUGUUGGUUACCUUAAUGCUGCGAGAACCCCUCUUCCUCUCCUUUUUUGGCUCUCCUGUCCUCCUCCGCCCACACUUAAAAUACAGUUUCUUAGGAUUCUGUUUCUGGAUUGCUCUUCUUUCUGUUGACAUCAUUGUGUCAUUUCACUUAGCAUCCUGGCUUCAGCCCCCCAACUUCACGUUGCUAAGUGAGAUUCCGAGCCACGAUCCUGUCCUUCCGGCCCCGCUUUCUACUUGGAUAUCUCAUGAGCAUUUCAGCUUCAACAUAGCCUUUUUGCUUCCCAAGUCAGCUCCUCCUUUAUUCACUACCCCAGUCAAUGGAUCAGCCCCGGAACCAAAAAACCUGGAGUCAUAUAGAUGAGCCCCUUUCUUUCUCCUGCACUCAAUAAUCACAUUUCAGUUAUUUUUCCUCCUAGAUGUUUCUCAAAUCUGUUCUCUCCCUGUGCCUGAAAUGCUUCUCUCACUCGUGGUGGUGGUGGUGCUGCUUGUUAACCUGGCUAGUGAGCUCAUAUUCAUUCUUCUUCUUUUUUUUAAUACUGUUUUAUUGUGAAACUUUGCACAGUAAAUUAGGUUUCCAUUUGACAAUUUCCAUCAAUUGUUCAGUGACAAUAGUUACAUUUUUCACAGCGUGUCAACAUUCUCUUUACUUGGGUUCUGGUUGUUCCAUCUCCAUUACUCUAGUUUCCCUGCCCCUUUAUCUUCCCAUCUUUGCUUUCGAGUAAAUGUUGACCUUAUGGUCUCCUUUAAGACUCAUCUCGGACUUGAUUACCCCUUUACUUCUGUGUUUAUGUGUGACUUUCUUAACACUCUCCACAUCCUGUGUAUCUGUCUUCCCCCACUAGGCUAUGAGUUUUUUACUGUUCCCUAGUUUUAUUCAUCUUUGUACUCCCAGAGCCUAUAACAGUACCUAAAACUUACUAAAAUGUCAUCAGUAGAUGUUUAUUGAACUAAAUCAAACUUUCUUUCUAGAGUAAUCAGAACACAUGAAAAGCAUUGGAAAAAGGGGUGCUUUGGAGAAAAAAGUAGGCAGUGGUUAUCUAAAGCACCUAUUUCUGUAGCUCUUACAGGAAUACUGGAUGUUAACUAGUAGACUUUGUUCAGCUUCCCAUUUUUGCCUUGUCACACGCAGCAUAUGUGCCCCUUUCUCUUAGCGAAUCUGCCCUGUCUGUCCUCUUAGCCUAGCUAACUCCUGCGUAUUCUGUUGGAUUCAGCUCAAGGACCCCCCUCAGGAUGGGUUAGAUGGCUCUCAUCCAUGCUGGUGACUCUAGCAUGACACUUACCAGAUGGUAUUAUGGUUGUCUGUUUCCUGCUUCCUUGUCUGCCUACCCCACUAAACUGUGAGUCUUGCUCCUCUUAACGCUCAAUGUGUGUGACAUACCUAUGCUUACUCAAUGUCUGAUGACUAAUGAAGGCUACACUAGAAAAGCAGAUCUGAGGUGCUCUGUUAUGGAAAUCUCUAGGGUAUAAUUCCCCCUAGAAUAUCAAGAUUAAGUUUCUUUUCUUGAAUAGGACCUUAAAGCCGUGUAUUUUAGGUGUUUUCAAAUUCUGGUGUCUCCAGUUAACAGUUGUUAAUCAGACUAGCUGAUCAACUACUGGGCUUAAAUCAAAGCAUUCACUAUCAAAGCCUUUUUGUUUAUGAGUACAAAUACACCAUUGAUGUUUCUGAGAAGAAUUAUUUUCUCCCCUGAAUGUUAACUAGCCAGAAAAGCUGGUGCACACAUGUAGAAAAAAAAAUUAUAUUUUCUACUAGUAGUCCAUAUAUCUUAUGCUAUGAAAAUGGGUUGAGAUGUCAUAUUAAAUAGAAAUGUCUUAGUUAAGUCAUAACUGAAACCAAAAGACACAACACAAGUUAGCUUUAGGGGGAAAAGAGGCUAUAAAGAAGUAGGAGCAUCUCAUGAAACCCAAGGGAAAGGGGACUAGGACCAGGAUUUGAAAUAGAGCUCUUUAGGUCUUUCUCAUAAAAUCUCUCACUUCUGCUUUCCAUGACUGGCUUCUUCUCUAUAUAUGUACCUUACCAGCUUUCUCAGUUUCCCUGGACAUCUGGCAGAAGAUGGCCACCUCAGCCUGAGCUGUUUAGUUGAAUUGAAAGAGGCUAGGUUGUAUAGCCUCUUUCAAUUCAACUAAACAGCUCAGGCUGAAUUCGAAUUUCUCAGUCCCGUCCCAACCUCUCAGAAGAGAAAAGGUGGUUGGUGCAGAAUAGGUCAGAAGUCCGCUGUGGUCCAGGCAGCUGUGGUCAAGGGGACAGAGCCAUAUGAAUACAAAAGAGACAGUUCUCAGACUGGAUCAUCAUGAACUAGACAGACGACCUUUACCACCACUAAAACCCAAGGAAGCAUGAGUGAAAAGUACAAAAUAGUAGCAUUUAUUCCAGUUUAUAUAUCCCAGUUUAUAUAUAGGCUUGUUUGUUUCCUCCACCGAACUAUACACACCUUGAGGCCAAGUGCUAUGUCUUAUGUUUAAUUCCCUGGUACUUGGAGCAGUGUGUGGCAUAGGCAUUCAGUAAAUAUGUAUCAGAUGAACAGAAAAGAUAUGAGCUCUCCCUUCAUGGGAAUUAUAGUCUGGUAAUGAAAGCAGGCAAUAAACAAAUAAGUAAAAAAAAAGCUAUAAUUUGUGGUGAGUGUUACAAAAGUUUUAAAAGUGGCAGAAAGGAAUGAGAACAGUUAGUUCAAACAAAAAUAAGAGAGAGAAGAAAGAAAAUAGAGAGGUUACCAAGCAAAAAUCUUUUUAGAAGGUAGCUAAGGGGGCUAAAACCUAAGGUAGCAGCCAUCAACUUUGCUUCUUCAUCCCAAGAGACUGGAGAUGGUAAUCAUAAAAUAUUCUGUUUACAUUUCAUUCCAUUUGUAACUUUAAUUUUAAAAGAAGUGUGACAUACAUUAAAUGCACAGGUUGCUAAAAAAUUAUAAAGAGCUGAAGGAAAAUUAUAAAUAAAUAUAAUUCAUGUUUGCAAUAUCUUUUCAUUUUUAUCUAACAAUUUUAGAUUGAUCAACUCCUAGCCCAGAGUUUGAUGUAAUUAUAAAACAUUUCUUUGAGAUGGUGAAUGAUUAAUUAAGUGCACAAUAGGAGAUAUACUUUGGCCAGCUCUGCAAAGAGAUUUGGAUUAAGAUUACAAAUAACACAAUGAAAAAGACAUGUUCUCUAAAGAACAAACAGGCAGAAUCAGAUGAUACACCAGAAAACAUGUUUUGUCAAUAUGAGGGAAAGAUUGUAUCCAGUGAUAGUAAAUGAGGCUACAGGAGAAGGAAUCUAGGAAAUGUGUUUUUCUACAGUUAUGUUAGAAUACUUGUUGCCAGUAUCUAACAGGAGAGAGAACUAUUUUGGAAGCAAGCCACAUCUUCUAAACAAUAAUUAACAAGAUUUUUGCAUAGCUAUAUUAAUUAGAGUAACCAGCAGGAGCUUCCGUGUAAACAACUCCAAAUCUCAGUGGUUUAUCACUGUGUAUUUCUGCCUAUGUGAAGUUCAGUGCAGAUGAGAGGAGGGGGAAGCUCUGCUUCAUGAAGUUCUUCAGGGACCCAAGCUCCCUCCAUCUUGCGGCUCCAUCUUCCUGAGGAUUCCCUCCGUUCAAGCUUGUUCAUGGGCAAAGAGCGAGGUUGUUUUAGGCCUAGACGUGGAACACUUCACUUCCACUCACAUUUCGUCGGCCAGGACUGAGUCACAUGUAUCACACCUACCUACAAAAGAGGUUGGGAAAAGUGUAGUUGGAGGCUUAGGAGGAAGAAGAAAAUGGUGAGCUUUCGCAGUGUCUGCCACAUUAGCGAUAUGUAGAUUCAAGAAGCUGUGGAAAAGAUGUUGAAAGGCUAAUGUUGUGUAAAAGCCCUUGGUAUUUUCAAAAGAAUUUUUGUUGAUAAAAUUUGAGAUUCUUUCAAACACGUUACUUACAACGAAAUGAAAGAUAGGUAGUUGGAAUUCAGGAAAUGUCACUUAGAAGCCUCUUAAUGCUGGUAGUUGGCGUCUACAAGCCACCUGUAAUUCCCUGGUUCUAUCAGUGCUGGAAAAUCCAGAAGAAAAUUAAGAGCAUACAGAUUCUCAAAAGUACUGAUUAUCUCGUCAGAAUAUCGUUAGUUCAUGUGUUUCCAAAGCACAACUGUGAUAGUGCAUGCCAUGAAAACAUCAUUAUCUCCUCUCAGAGGUUUCCCCAAGGUGAAAAACGAGUUUACAUUGUUGACAGGUCAUGCUUGUUGAACACCUCCUUUAGUCUGGAGCAGCGUUUCCCAAUCAGGAAUUUAGGGAAGAGUGCAGUGCCAUAGUUUGAGUUUGACCUGUCCCUGUGGAAUUGGUUCGUGUCUGAUUCCAUAUGCUCCUUGCUCUGAUCACAACAGCUGUGUCUCAGCUCUGUUUCAGGGCUUCUGCAAAUUUAAAUUCUACCACAGUAAUAGCUUACACUUCUUGAGCACUUACUGUAUUCCAUUCUAAGUACCUCACAUCCUCACAGAAAUCCAGUGGCAUGUGUUAUUAUUUGCCUUGUUUUGCAAGGGAUGAAACUGAGGUACAGAGAUGUCAAAUAACUUGCCCAAAGUUAAAGAGCUAGCAAGUGUCAGCUUGAAUUUAAACCCAGGCAUACUAGCUCCAGAAGUUGUCCUCUUAACCGUCAAACUAUAGUAUAGGAAAAACUUAAACAACAUCAAAGGCAGCCAAGGGAUUUCCUGGCAUUAAAUAUCAGGGAAACAGAAUGUCGCCCCACCUUGCACUUUUAGGGAUCUUGUCUGUUAGUCCACAUUGGGAGUAAACCUCUGCCCAGGAAGUUUCAGAUUUUAUCAAGGAAGAUACAAAACUAUAGGCAGUUUACAGUGUGAAUCUUAAUUGUUAUAAUCAGGACUGGCUAAGAUUUAAGGGCAUAAUUGCAUUGUAGGUGCCCCAAAUUUAGUUUGGCAAUAAGUUGUCUUAGUGCUGACCAGCCAAGUAUUCUUGGUUGGGUUUUUAUAUACUGACUCUGAUUGGUUAUUUUUGAAAUUUAUUUGAAUUCAAUUCAAUAAAUAAUAAUUGAGCAUCUGUUUUAUGGAAAACUCCAUGCUAAUUAUUGUAGGGAAUACAAAUGUAAGGGAAGCCUAGUCAUCAAGGAUACUGAUCAGUAGAAGUAGCAGAAUGACCUUAAAUGUGAGUGAAGUCAUUGAAACUUUAGGUCUUAAAUCUUUAGCUGAUAGAUAUUGUGAUCCCUGAAGAAGUGGUCCUCGUUGUAAUUGUACAAUCAUAUUUCCUCCUGCAUUCUGUGUUAAUAUUCUUUUUUUUUUAAAUAACAGCCUUGUUGAGAUGUAAUUUAUAUACCAUAUGAUUCACUCAUUUAAAGUAUACAGUGCAGUGGUUUUUAGUAUAUUUACAGAGUUGUACAGUCAUCAUCACAAUCAAUUUUAGAAUACUUCAUCACCCCAAAAAGAAACCUCAUACCCAUUAUCAGGCACUUCCCACUUUCUCCCAAGCCCCCUAUACCUAGGAAGCCACUAAUUUACUUUUCGUCAAUAAAUUUGCCUAUUCUGGGCAUUUCAUAUAAAUGGAAUGUACAAUAUGUUAUCCUUUGUGUUUGGCUUCUUUCACUUUGCAUAAUAUUUUCAAGUUUCAUCCAUGUUGUAGCAUGUAUCAGUACUUCAUUCCUUUUUAUUGCCAAAUAACAUUCCAUUGUAUGAAUAUACCACAUUUUGUUUAACCAUCUGUCAGUUGACAGACAUUUGGGUUGUUUCUGCUUUUUGGCUGUUUUGAAUAAUGCUGCUGUGAACAUUUGUGUACAAGUUUUUGUGUGGACAUACGUUUUCAUUUUCAUUUUUCUUGGUAUAUAUCUAGUAGUGGAAUUGCUGGGUAAUAUGGUAACUCUAUGUUUAUCCUUUUUAGGAACUGCCAGGCUGUUUCCCAAAGCAACUACACCAUUUUAGAUUUCCACCAGCAGUAUAUGAGGGUUCCACUUGCUCCAUGUCCUUGUCAAUACUUGUUGAUAUCUGUCUUUUUGAUUGUAGCCAUCCUAAUAGUUGUGUAAUAAGUGGUAUCUUACUGUUAUUUUGAUUUGCAUUUACCUGAUGGAUUAAUAUUUUAACAUUUAUUUUACUGAUCUAAGGCAAAAGCGUAAAGCUUAUACUUUCAAAUUACACACAGAAUGAAAACUCUAACAUUACUGGAUUGACUCUCUAAAACAAAAAAAUACAGUUCUCUACAGGAUGAAUGGCAUUUGUGGGGUUAGAGUUACGCCUGAAAGAAUAUAAAGUAAAAUGCCACGGAGUUAAGAUUAUGCAUUCAUGGGGGAAAUAUGAAUUCAUUCCCAGUAUUUCAAAGCCUUUAUCUGAGCUGCUCAAGUCCUAUUAUUGACAUUUGCUGAUAAUCCAGACAGCACUUUGGCUAAAUCCACAGUGUGAUGUCAGUCAGUAAGCCCUUGGAAGUGGAGAUGCGUGUCUCUUCUGAUUCUAUCAGUUGAGAUUAGCAGUGGUUCACGGCACAGUGACCUUUUUCUCCUCUGUGAUCCAUCAGUCUGUGUCUCACUGUGGGCCAACAGUCUGUCAUGUGAAACUACUUAAAAUAGGUUGGAUUUCUUAAAUGUCGUUUUGUAGUGACAUCAGGAUUGGGCUGCAGAAGAAGGGGAUAGCAGCUUUUUAUUACUGAGUUCUCUCUUGCGUUUCCAUUACAAGCCUGUCGUUUUAGCCGUUUGCUAUAGGCCUAACUACUCCGUAGGCAUUGUGCCUGUCACCACUUAGCUGUUUGGAGCUCCUAGUGUGGUUAUCUCUGUGUUUCUGUCAAACUAAGAAAAGGCACGGGGCUUAGGAGGUGUCACAGUUUUCUUACCGAGAUUUCACCAGCAAGCAGAUCUGUAAAAAGAACAUUCACUAGGCUCAUUUGGUGAGAAAAGGACAAAAAAAAAAUAUUGACCAGAAUCUAGAGGAUUAUUUUUUUAGAGCAGGUCUCAGGAUCUCUCAAAAGGUACCCCCAGAAAAGAGACCCUAGCAGUAGACGGGCUCUUCCUCCCUGACCCACGGGGAGAAGGACCACUCAGAUCUGAACUUUCCCCGUAAGACGGUAUGUCCACGUCUCCAGGUAGCGCAGCUCUGCCAUGAGUCUGAGGGCGACAAAGGAAGGAAAGAGAAAAAAAAAAGCGUGGUAAUUAAUUCCUUCAGAGUAUAUCAUCCUAUGUCCUGCUUGCUUUUUUAACUUUUAACAUGAGUUUGCGUGCCUUAAUAGGGAGGAGGGGGUAUUAACUAGGUUUUUGGGCAGAGGAUGAAUUGUGUCUCCCCCCAAAUAAAGAGAAACAAUCACUUUAUACAUUUGCUGAUUUUUGUUGUUGUUGUUUAAAGCUUUGGUGGAUUCUGUCUUGAGUGUUAUAUUAACUGAUGUCUUAUUUUGGCUGAAACGUAAGCACGUCAUGACCCAACGGUAGUGGUCGCCCCUGCUGAAGAGCCUGGACCACCUCGCAAUCCUGCUGUGCCUUCAGAACUAUCAAAGAAGAGUAACAUUUGUUAAAGUAUUAGUAGGAGCUAUAGCUCAGAUUCUGCUUUUCGCAGAUGUAUAAACCUUGAGUAAUAAUCAUAAAAAAUAAUAGCUAGUACUUAAUGAGGAUUUAGUGUGCCCUAUUUUUUUUUUAGGCAUUAUAGUGGAAACCCUGGUGGCGUAGUGGUUAAGAGCUAUGGCUGCUAACCAAAAAAGUCAGCAGUUCAGAUCCACCAGGCGCUCCUUGGAAACUCUGUGGGGCAGUUCUAUUCUGUCCUAUAGGGUUGCGAUGAGUUGAAAUCGACUCUACAGCAAUGGGUUUUGGGGUUUAGGCAUUAUAGUGACAGCUUUGCUUAGAUAUCUCAUUUCAUUCUUUCUACAGCCCUCUGAAAUGAGUAGUUAUUAUCCUCAUCUUACAAACUGAGGUUUAAUGAAGUUUAAUGGUUGCCUUAUCCAGAACCAGCACUCUUAGCUCCCCAGCAGACCACCUCCCCUGGUGCAUGAUACGUUUCAUGAAGACUACAUAGCCCUGCCCUCCUGUACCACAUCACAGACUAGAGAUGUGGAAGGAAGGGGGGAGGAGAGAGAGAGCCAGAAAAGAGAGAAAUUAAUAUGAAUGAAUGAAAGAAAGAAAACAUACCUCAAAUAGAGAAAUAAAUUGAUGUGGAUGUUUUCUGCCAUGGUAGUUUUUAUAAAAGUUUCUAAGGUUUCCUUUCCCUCCCUCUUAUUCUUGCACACAAACAAGGCAUUAACUGGUGAGGAGAAGCAAACUCAAGCUGGCUGUGCCCAUAGGAAAAUGGCAAAGCUGUAUCUUUCAUGUAACAAGAAUGGAUGAGGGAUUUCGCUUGUUCUUUUGGUUAAGAAGUUAGUAUGAGAAGGAAUGUCACUUACUCCAGUUUUACUUUAGGAAACCAAGCAACUCUGACUACUUAUUUUGAUAGAAAAUACAUAAUGUAUUUAGGAAAUUCAGAAGUAUUUUCUUUCUCAUUGCAAGCGCUGUUAUUCCGAGUCACCCAAUUAAAUUAUCUCUUCACUGAGCCAUUUUAUUAUGACAUUUCCUAAAAUCAGUGAACGAAUUAAAAUCUCUCACAUUCACUCACACACUCCCCACAUACCCUUUUUCAACAGCGUCUGUUUCAUACCUUUCCUACUUUUUAGUCAAGGUAAGCAUCUGAGUGUAAUAUAACUAAAGUUACGUUUUCAUAAAAAUGCCUGGUCACGAGGCAGCUCUUCCAGCCAGUGUCGUCUUUGCCAUAACGCACAGAAUUCCUGGAGCACAUCUCACUCUGUCAUCCCUUGCCUUGGAAAGAUAGUUCUUUAAUCUCCUUGAUAGAGUCUCCACCAAGUAGCAGUCAAGGAGUCCUAGCAGUGCAGUGGUUAAGCACUCUGCUGCUAACCAAAAGGUUGGUGGUUCGAACCCACCAGCCAGUCCACAGGAGAAAGAUGUGGCAGUCUGCUUCUGUAAAGGUUACAGCCUUGGAAACCCUUUGGGGCAGUUCUACACUGUCCUGUAGGGUCGCCAUGAGUCGGAAUUGACUCGACGGCAACGAGUUUGGUUUUAGUUAAGUUGAGGCACUUCCUGGGACUGGCAACUCAUUGCAUUUUGAGGUAGUUCUAAGUAGUGGAAAUGACCUUUUUUGAGCCAAAUUUUGGGUUCUUUAAUGCAUACUUUUCAAUACUAACUCUUCCUUCCAGAAUGAGACACAGUAAAAAGCUUGAACGAAUAUGUUAACUGAUAAACAUAUAUUGAUUACCUACAGUAUGCAAAGCAAUUAUAAAAUGUUUCGGAAUAUACAUAAUUUGCUAAAUAAUAUUAACCCUUGAUGUGGAAGAAAAAACAUGGGCUCAGAGUCAAAUAAUGGCAAAAAUGGGGCUGGCUCUAUACCAGGUACUGUUAUAAACACUCCACAUCAGUUAACUCAUGAAUCCUGGCCACAGCUCACUGAGGUAUGUUUCCUUAAUAUCCCCACUUACAGAUGAGAAAACUGAGACCCAGAGUUCAGAAAUUUGCUCAAAGUCACCCAGUUGGGGAGCAUCAGAGCCAGCGUUUGAAACCAGGUGAUCUGGCUGCAGAGACCCUGCUCUCGAUCCCUUGGCUGUGCCGGUGCUCAGCCAGGGCUUCAAAUCCUGGUGCUGCGCCUUGUCAGCCGGGCAACAGGGAAAUUUACUUAAGCUGCCUCCGCCUUAGUUUCUUCGCCUGUAAAGAUGGGCCCGGCUAUUAUAAGAAUUAAAUGGAACAUGACCAGUCGUUCUUAACAAGGAUUGCACAUCACAUUCAUUGAUGCUUUUUGUUUUUAAAGUUUAGGCCCCACCUGGUUUUCUGAUUUAUUUAAACACUCUGAGGUAUGAGGUUUGCUGUCAACGAUUUGAGGUUUAUGUCAACAUUGCUUCAAAACAAGCAGGGUGUUUUUUUGAGUUAAUCUUGAUAACUACAAAAUUCAGAAGAGUAUUAGUCAGCAUUGAUAGGAUGAAGUUUUGGGUGAUAAUAAAGAGUCUGACUUCAUAAUCGCGUGGAGGUUGUUCUUCAGAUACUUAAGAUGCAUUUCCUUGCCCCACUUGUUGCUGAAAUAUGUGCUGCAUGCGUACUCAGAGCAGGGCAUUUCACAAAGAGCUGAUGCAAGUGAAAAGGAAUGUGUUGUGAUUUUUUUUUUCCUGUGUUUGAUAGCUUCUCUAUGUGACCCAGUGAACUGUUCUGAUAAUAAACCCUUAAAAUAUUAACAGCACCACCUAGAAACACUUUGCAGUUUGACAUCUGUACACAGUGGAACUCACAAAAUUGUAAGCGUUCUAGUUGAUAAAGGUUUCAAAAUCAAGCACAUUGGCAGAAUCGUGAGAUUAUUUAUCAGUGUACUUGCAUUUUGAAGAGCGAGAGAGGGAUCGUUAAGGAAAAGAUAACAACUCCUGUGCACAUACUUUAAUACAUUGAUUUCAUGAGAAUUCUGGGUAAUUAGUUUCAUUGAGAAUAAGUGGAGAACUUUUGAGUAUGUGGCAAGAGAAUGCCAUGGAGCUUGAAGAAUGUUACUCUGACCACGUGAUUCUGGCUUUCUUGAUCUGUCACCAAGUCACUGGAAGUACAUGGCAUUCAGAUCUCAGUCUAAGCCAGAUUAAAGAUGACAAGGCAGAUUCUGAGACUUAAGAGGUUGUGGUGUCUCCAUAGGGUGACCCUGUUUCGUUCAGCGGUCACUCAUUGUCACUUUCUAUGUACUAGGCAAUGGGGAUACAAACAUGCAAAGGACGUUGUCCCUACAUUCAGGUUCAGUCAAUGGGGGAAACUGACAGGUGAUUUUAGUAGAGAUCAGCAGGUGGUUUGGUGUAAGAUGGUCCGGAGAGCCUUUGAGAGUAGAGAGGAGGGUCACCUAUUCCAGCCUGGGAGAGGAAGGCAGGAGGGUGAAGAUACGGGUGCUCUGAGGCAGCUUCCUGCAGGAGGAGAUGCUGAGAUGAGUCUUGAAGGAUGGACUGGCAGUGGCAUGGUUAAGAAAGUAUGGAAGGACAUUCCAACUGGGCUUUAUAGCCUUGUGAGCAGUUCUUAAUCAUCCUACCUAACCAGCAUUCGCCUCUACUCUGUCCAGACAAUGUCCAGCCUGACCUACUGACUUUACAUCCUAUCAUUUUUUCACUGUUAAAAAAAAAAUCAUUUCUCUGACACAUAAUUAGCUGGCUUUGUGAAAUACGAGUUCUGAGGGAAAAAGCAGCAACAAUGCCUGGGCUGUAUCUUUUUGUCCCUAAAAUGAACAGUCCACAGAACUUGUUUAACCUGACCUCUCCCAUCACAAUUUAAUCAGGUUUGACGAGGGAAUGUGCUAGAAUCCCAGUAGCACAGGCUUGUGGGAAGUGGGGCCCUGAGGAAAGUCUUGCCUGCCGAAUGGUUGACAUCCAGAGAGGAAGGUAGCAUCAGGGAGAGCCCAGCCAUAAGCAGCGUCCAAAGUAGUCAUCGGACCUGAGAGUUGUUUUGCUGGCCAAAGGCAGUGGCCCAAGAUAUCCAGGGCUUUUCUAGUUCAAGAAAAGCCUGAACCCCACAACUGAGAAUGUGGGGUGGGCUGGGAGGUGGGGAGCAGAGGUAGGCAGUAAAACAGUGGAUAAGAACACAGACUGUGGAGCCAGACAGCCUGUAUCACUUCCUAGCUUUAAGACCUUGGGCAGAUUACUUCAUCUCUCAGUGCUUUGUUUUUUGCCCUAAAAUAAGGCAUCAUAAUAGCACCCCAAGAGCUCGGGCUGCUAUUCAAAAUGUCGGCUGUUAGAAUCCACUAGCCACUCCUUGGAAACCCUAUGGGGCAGUUCUGCUCUGUCCUAUGGGGUUGCUAGGAGUCGAAUUGAAUCUGGAUUCCAUUCAACACGGGGUUUGGUUUUUUUAUCCUUCAGUGCACCUGGUGGUUGUGAGGAUUAAAUGAUCUAACUCAUGGAGCAGUCUGUCUGAGCGGUUGUGAGGAUUAAAUGAACUAGCACCUGGAGCAGUCUUUCUUAGCUAUUGGGGGACAGGGUCCCAGUUUUCUCGGAAAGGAGAUCUAAGCAUGAUAUCAACCAAUUGCCAUUGAGUUGACUCUGACUUAUGAUGGCCCUGCUGUAGAUGUGAGUAUGUGCAGUUUAAAUGUAAAACCAGUUGCCGUUGGGUCAGCCCCAACUCAUGGUGACCCUGUGUGUAUCAGAGUAGAGCUAUGCUCCAUAGGAUUUUCAGUGACUGACUUUUCGGAAGUAGAUCACCAAGCCUUUCUUCCAAGGUGCCUCUGGGUAGACUCGAACCUCCAGCCUUUGGUUUAGCAGCCAAGCGUGUUAACCAUUUGCACCACCCAGGGACUCCGCGCACAGUCUCAGGACCUCUGCAAUCCGUUAGGAAUUUGGUACAGCACUCCAGUUCCCCACAAGAUAUUAGUUUACCACACAAGCCAAUUGACUGAUUUAGCAUUCAUUCAACACAUAUUUAUUGAAUGUUUCCUAUGUGCCAGAAUACACUGGGGAUAAAUGAACGGAAGUGGCUCAUACAAAGGCCCUGAUGUGGGAGUAGGCCUGGCAUGUUUAAGGAAUUGCAAGGAAGUCCAUGUGAAAUGAGUGAGGGGUGACAAGGAGAUGAGGUCAGAAAGGUAAUGGGGGUCAGAUCAUGUAGGGCCUCACAGGCCAUUGUAAGGACUUGGGCUUUUGUUUUGCGGGUAGGUCAAUAUGGGGUAAGGAUUGAGAGAAUAACAACUACUACUGAUUAUUGAAUUUAUAUAAUAUGGCAGGCAAUGUGCCAAGUGCUUGACCUGUGUUAUCUGAUUUAAUCCUUAAAACAAUGAUGUAAGGUACUGAUACUGUACCCAGGGAGGAAACUGAGACAAGGGGUUAGGUAGCUUGCCUGGGGCAGUAUUUCAACCCAGAUCUGGGUGACUUCAGGAUACUAUACUGUCAUUUCCCAUAGUUUACUGUCAGAUUGGUAGUAGCAAGACUAUCUUCAGACUCCACUUAACCAUGUUGUACUCAGAACCUGGGUAGAAACUCAGUUUCUGUGCUUUUGAAGGACUCUGGAAAUGGGAGACUAAGAAUCUGAAUGCGCAGCACUUCACCACACAAACAUUUCCCUGGGGCACUAGCAGGUGAACACGGUGUCCAAGCUGUAGCCUCAUGCCUCCAACAUCAGUUCUUUUUCCACGUGGACACUUUAAAUGUGCUCACUCUUUCCACAUCUAAAGACUCCAGUGUUGCUAAGUGCUUUUUGAGGGCAGAGUGGAAUCAAAGCCUAAAAUACCAAAGGUUCAAUUUCCUGUUCCUGACCACACUAGGCCAUAAAAGGAGGCAGCUUUCAGAACAGCUGUUUCACCCAUGACCCUGCAGCUCAGCUGUGACUCAGAGGAACCUGUGGGAACUGUCAGACCCCUUUCUCUGCAGGAUGUUGUUCUGAACUGAAUGGAUGUCCUCAAAGUCAGGUUGAAUGUUCAAGACCAAACCACAGUGCAGAACAUGAAGGACAGGUAGAAGUCUUGUUAAAAAUAAGAUAAUUUUGCAGGACCCACCCUGAAAUCAUUUUAAUUCAUACUCAACUAACUUGAAAUUUUGUGAUAACCAUUGAAGGAGUGGAACUGUAAGAUAAAGAGAAGAGAGUGUUAGUGUCAUGGACUGAAUUGCGUCCCCCAAAAAUAUGUGUUAACUUGGUUAGGCCAUGAUUCCCAGUAUUGUGCGGUUGUCCUCCAUUUUGUGAUUUUCCUAUGUGUGGUAAAUCAUAAUCUCUGCCUGUGGAUAAAAAGGAUUAGGGUGGGACGUUAUGCCCCUGCUCAGGUCACAUCCCUGAUCCAAUGUAAAGGGAGUUUUCCUUGGGGUGUAGCCUGUACCACCUUUUAUCUUACAAGAGAUAAAAGGAAAGGGAAGCAAGCAGAGAAUGGGGGACCUCAUACCACCAAGAAAGCAGUACUGGGAGCAGAGCACAUCCUUUGAACCCGGGGUUCCGGCGUGGAGAAACUCCUAGUCCGAGGGAAAAUUGAUGACAAGGACCUUCCUCCAGAGUCGACAGAGAAAGCCUUCCCCUGGAGCUGGCACCCUGAAUUUGGACUUCUAGCCUACUAGACUGUGAGAAAACUAAUUUCUCAUUGUUAAAGCCAUCCACUUGUGGUGUUUCUGUUACAGCAGCACUAGAUACCUAAGACAGUUUUUUUCAACAAGUAUAUUAAUUAAGUGCCUAUUAUGUGCAAAGUACAAUGCCAGGUGCUAAGAAUGAAAAGAUAAAUGGCUUCUACCCCCAACUUGCUGUUUGGGAGAGACAGGUAGUUUACAGUGCACUGUAAGUGCUCUGUUUGUGUUAUAUUCCAGUUGCUAUACACAAAUUCAGCUGUGCAUACUCAGCAAAUAUGAAGAAAGAAAACAACUGCAGUUCAAAUAGUGCAGGGAAUUCUGUCCGUUUCCAGGCUGAGCAUAAGAUGAGAGAUGUGAAUCUGCUAUUCCCUCUCUUGGUCCAGCUUCCUUAUCUUUCUCACAGUGUAGAAUUUCAUUGCAUGGAAUGCGAUUAUAGUGCUCAAAGAUACAAAGUUUUCAUAGAACAUGGCCUUGAGAUGCAUGUCAACUACUUCAUCUUGUGUCCAGCCAAAGAAAGAGCAUUCUUUUCCAACCCUAAAAGAAAUAUUGGCUGCAUUGGACAUUUCUAAGAGAUUGUUGGGUUGGUUUUGACUCAUAUGAGAUUUUCAUCUUAUAUUUGACUUGAGAGCUCAUUUUGACACAUAAGAUUUGACUUCACUGUAGUGGCAAAUGUAGAGGCUGGGGUCAACAAACUGGUUGUGAAUUCCAGUUUCUGAUUGAUUUAGACUGUGGGCAAGUUAUUUGACUUCUAUUAGUGGCUAAUGAUAGGCCUCUUUUUUUUUUUAAUCUAUAAAAUAAUAAUUUUAUUUCUUCCAAUAGCAUUGUUGUGAUGAUAAAAUGAAUAAUAUAUUUAGGGAUCCUAGCAAAAUAUUUAGUAUAAUAAGUGAUAGUUCCAACCUCGUUCCUAAUGAAUGUGGACUUAACCUGUGGGAGCCCACAAAGGUUUUUAGGCAGAGGAUUGACAAGAUCGAUGUAAAUUUUAAGCAAGGUGAGUCUGGCAUCACUGUGAUAUACGGUCUAAAACGUUGAGAGACUGGAAACAAGGACAUGAACUAGCAAGUGGUUACAGUGAUUGAAGGCAGUAGAAUGAAACUGCAGAGGAAAAAGCCAGGUUUGGGAAUUUUUAAAGUAGAAUUGACAAGAUUUGGGGACUGUUUGAGUUAAGAGGUAGGAGAAUCAUCAAAGUGAAGGAUGGCUUUGAGUUUUCCAGCUUGGGAGGUUGGAUAGACAGAGAUAUUGAAUUAACUGGUGUAGGGAAUAUUAAUAGGUACUGUUUUACUACAGGCUGAAACUAUAUUCCUGACACUGAACUAAGGAAUUUAAAACAUGAUUUCACUUAGUCAUCAUGCCAGUCCUAUGGUUAAGUAUUGUCACUGCCAUUUUACUAUUGUGGAAACCUGAAGUCAGAGAAACUUAAUGUCAUAUAACUACUAAAUAUCUCCCAAGGAUUUGAACAUGGAUUUGUCUGACACCAAAGCCUCAUCUUAAACUACAGCAACAGAUGAAGCCCCAGUCUGCAGGAGGGGAAAUGAAGAAGAGAUGGGAGAGUGGAGAUAAGCUUAGUUUUGGAAACAUUAAAGUUGUGUUGCUUAUGUCAAGCAGCGAUAUCUUGAGGGCAGUUGGAUAAUCAGACCUGUAGCUCAGGGGAGGAGCCCUGGUGGCACAGUGGUCAAGAGCUAUGGCUGCUAACCAAAAGGUCGGUAGUUCAGAUCCCCCAGCCGUUCCUCGAAACCCUAUGGGGCAGUUCAGCUCUGUCCUACAGGGUUGUAUGAGUCGGAAUCAACUCUAGAGCAACGGGCUUGAUUUUUUUUUGUUUGUUUAGCUCAGGGGAAGGGUUGGGGUAAGAUAAAAGGAUUUGGGAGUUGGUAGCAUAUGACUGAGGCCACGGGGGAUGAAUGAGCUCACCCAGCAAGGAGAUGUACAGUUAAAGAGAAACCAAACCAAACCCACUACCGUCAAGUUGAUUCCAACUCAUAGCAACCUUAUGGGACAGAGGAGAACUGUCCCAUAGGAUUUCCAAGGCUGUAAAUCUUUACAGAAGCAGAUUGCCACAUCUUUCUCCUGCAGAGUGGCUGGUGGGUUCAAACUGCUGACCUUUUGCUUAGCAACUGAGCGCUUAACCACUGUGCCACCAGGGCUUCCAGUUAAGAGAAGCAGAUCCUAAACAAAUGAAGGUUAGGAGUUUAGAAGCUCUUGUAUACCCAUAUGCAAUGUAAUUUCUUCUGGGCAGAGUGUUACAUUGUGCUUUUGGUGUGUAAACAGAUACGGAUUACCCAAUAAGCAAGGUGUAAGCAAGGGCUUACUUGUAGUUACUCCCUAGGUGAAACUCAUAUGAAAUUGUUCACUACAGAUUAGAAAGUAAACAUAGGUAAGCCCAUGCUUACGGUGUUACUGGGUCAUCCGUCCCUCUCAGAGAUUGUAACUUUGAAAACAGGGGCUUUGGUUCUGUAGGAAGGUGCUGUGGGUUAGGAAAGAGAUGCCAGCCAUACCUAGAAGCAGAAUCUUUGAUGUGGUGAGAAAAUGUGAAAUUGGUCACUACAGACGAUCUGGUAAGCAAGGUAAGCAACGAGCUUAUCUUGCCUAUUGGAUAAUCCGCCCCUGUGUAUAAAUGUGAUUGGCAUUUUUUUUUCCAUCAGCUGUGUGUUGAGUGUUCACUGUGCGUCAGUCCUUGGUAGAGCUUGGUUCCUGCCUUCACAGAGAUUAUAGUCUAGUGGAGAGUCAUAAACUAAAAAGCAAUUAAACAAUAAUAACAAGCCAUAAGCAAUUACAGACAGUAUAGGCUUAAAUGUUAUUUUAGGGUGCUCUUUUAGGAACCCUUGUGGCACAGUGGUUAAGAACUCAGCUGCUGACCAAAAGGUUGGCAGUUUGAAUCCAGCAGCCACUCCUUGGAAACCCUAUGAGUUGGAGUUGACUUGACAGGGGAGUUUUUGUUUUGUUUUGUUUUUUAGGGUCUUACAUAGGAUUGGCUCCCAUCCCACUCCUAUUCUGGGAUCUCCAUUGCCCAAUUUAAGUUGUUUUUUCUCUCUCUCAGUCUCAAACCCCAAUGGAUACACUUGAAUCUAUAUACAUAAAGUGAUAUGAUAGGGCUCCACUGUAAUAAACAUCUUAGUUAGAUGUACACACUGGAAAAAACACUGGUAUUUCUUAGUUUUUUUCCUGAAUUGCAUAACUGCUCUAAGAGACCUGCAUAAAAUUGGAAAGUAGCAAAUUUCUUUUCCACUGACCAUGGGAGCAGAGAACUCCUAAGCCUUCAUGCUGUACAGUAAGUAACACAGUCUGAGAUAAUGGCCUUUGCCUUGAUAGUCAGUCUCCAUUUUGAGAGUUAAUUUAACAUAAUGGUAAAAGCACGAACCCUGGAGCCAGACUGUCUCAGUUUGAAUCAGGGCUUUGAACCAGUUCAUUCUGGUUCGACCUCCUGUUAAGAAUUUGCCUUUCCACCCUAGAUAUACUGAAUUGGUAUCUACGUUUUAACAAGAUCCUCCAGGUAAAUUCUUAUGUAUAUGUGUCUUAGUCAUCUAGUGCUGCUGUAACAGAAAUACCAACAAGUGGAUGACUUUAACAAAGAGAAAUUUAUCCUCUCACAGUCUAGGAGGCUAGAAGUCCAAAUUCAGGGUGCCAGCUCCAGGGGAAGGCUUUUUCUCUCUCUGUGGGCUCUGGAGAAAGGUCCUUGUCAUCAAUCUUCCCUGGUCAAGGAGCUUCUCAGCUCAGGGACUUCGGGUCCAAAGGGCAUGCUAUUCUGCUGGCUCUUCUUUCUUGGUGGUAUGAGGUGCCCCUGUCUCUGCUUGCUUUCUUCUUUCACAUCUCACGAGAUUGGCUUAAGACACAAUUGAAUCUUGUGUAUUGAGUCCUGCGUCAUUAACAUAACUGCCACUAAUCCGAUGUCAUUAACAUCAUAGAGAUAGGAUUUACAACACAUAGGAAAAUCACAUCAGAUGACAAAAUGGUGGACAGUCACACAAUACUGGGAAUCAUGGCCUGGCCAAGUUGAUACACAUAUUUUUGGCAGACACAAUUCAAUCCAUGACAACACAUAACACUAAUACCUAACUUUACAGGUUGUUUGCUAUAUAUCUGCCAAGUACAGUUCUAAGUCCUUCAUAUGUAUUAACUCAUUUGUUACUCCUCAUAUCACCUCAAGAAUGUAGGUACUAUUACUAUCCACAUUUUAUAGAUGUGGAAACUGAAACAUAUAGAGGUUAAAUAUUUUCCCCAGUCACAUGUGUAGGUAAGAAUCAUCUGGGGCUCUUGUUAAAAUUCUUACGUAUACGUAAGAAUCACACCUGGGAAUCUGGUUAAAAUGCACAUUCUCAUUCAGCAUGUAUGGGGUGGAAAUGCAAAUUCUCCACAGGUGAUGGAACCUGAAUGAGCCCGUUCAAAGCCCUGGUUCGAAUUCCUGAUCCACCAAUCUCUAUAAGUAUGUGACCCUGGGUAAAAUAUUUAACCUCCCUGUGUUUCAGUUUCCACAUCUGUAAAAUGGGAAUAGUACCUACAUCUUUGGGGUCAUGUGAAGAAUAAUAAAUAAGUUAACACAUAUAAAGGACUUAGAACUAUACUUGGCAGAUAUAUAGUAAGCAAUCUAUAAAGUUAGGUAUUGGUGUUAUUACUGUAUUAUACCAGCUGAAAAAAGAGCAUUUUAUAUGGUAGCCACUAGCCAGUGAGGGCAGAGUUCCCCACCGCAUUGUUAUUCAUUCACAGGUCAGCUCUCCUAUCACUUAGCACUCAGGGAAGAGUCCAGCAUGUUGUUUCCUCUUGCUCUCUUUUAGCACUGAGGAUCACUGUGGUCCAUGGGAAAUCUAGUGCAUAGUCAAUUUCAAGCCCCAUAGCCAGAGAUAGGGGAUUCUGUCUUUUAAGUAAAGAAGCCCUCUUCCUUGGAAUCACAUGUCAGGUGCUAUGUUUAGAAAUCUUCCAGCAGCAGUCUGGGAAGAUAGCUGAAAGUGUGGUGUAUGGCAUGAAGCCUUGUGUAUGAUAAGGAAGUUAGGUAGCCAGCCACCGUGUUGUCUCUGUUCCAUAAUGUGUGGUCAGAUCAGAGAGGGAUAUGAUUCUUAUUUCUCUAGUUGAACUUUUCUGUCAGUCCUCUUGGGCUGCCAACUGGAAGACCCUGGUUGACAAGUCUCCUGUGUUCAUUUGUUUCUAGACACAGCAAAGAACAAACCCUAGGUUUUUAAAUAGAUGGUAUGAGCUCCAGCUCUGAGCCAGUUGGUCACACCUCAUAUUGUGAUACUGCUGAACAUCUCCCUCAGUAAGUGUCUUCCCUAACUUCCUUAGAAAUCUCAUGACACAUACCUCCCUCCAGCAGGAAGCUACAGAGUUGUUGAUUUGAAAUUCUUAGGAGAAUAAACUUGUCAAUUUCUUGGGCUUAUUUCUAAAAUCCUACUAAGUAGAGUUAUAAAGGGUCUUCUGACCCAGCAAUGAUGUAGUUUGCUCCCCGGAGGGUAUGCCAGAUUUAAUUACUGUGUAAGGGUUAAAAACCACUACUGGAGUCACAGAGGUCAGACACCAGAACCAGCGACAGAUCUGUUUGGUUUGGCCCACACAGUUGUAUAUGCAUAUAUCAAUUAGUUGCAACAUACAAAAAUUGGGAGGUUUCACAUAAAACCUGCGUUCUCACCUUUUUUAAAAAAUGUCAGGUCUGGACUAAUGGACCACAUCUACCACUGCCUCCACCAGACUGAGUCCAGUAAAACUAGAUGGUGCCCGGCUCCCACCGCUGACUGCCAUGACAGGGAUCACAAUAGAGGAUUCUUGACAGAGCUGGAGAAAAAUUUAGAACAAAAUUCUAACUCAAAAAGAAAGACCAGAUUUGCUGGCCCGACAGAGACUGGAGAGUAUAGCCCCCAGACAUCCUUUCAACUCAGUAAUGAGGUCACUCCUGAGGUCCACCCUUCAGCCAAAGAUUGAACAGGCCCAUGGAACAAAACAAGACUAAAGGGGCACACCUGCCCUGGGGCAAUGGCUGGAAGGCAAGAGGGAACAGGAAAGCUGGUAAUAGGGAACCCAGGGUAGAGAAGAGAGAGUGUUAACAUGUUGUGGGGCUGUUAACUGAUGUCAUAGAACAAUAUGUGUACUGUUUGAUGAGAAACUAGUUCUGUAAAUCUUCAUCUAAAGUACAAUAAAAAAUAAUGAACAAAAUGCCAGGUCUGGCAACACUGUUCUCUGCCCCCCCCCCCAUUCAAAUGUGUCAGUUCUUCAGUUUUUCUCCUUCAGUGCUGAGCGUUCACAUACAUACGAGGCGAUUGAAAAUACCACGGCUUUGGUCAGGUGCACCUUAGUCCUCAAGGUGACAUGUUCACUUUCUAAAAACACUUUAAAGAGGCCUUUUGCAGCAGAUUUGCCCAAUGCAGUGCAUCUUUUGAUUUCUUGACUGCUGUUUCCGUGGGUGUUGAUUGUGGGUGCGAGUAAAAUGAAAUCCUUGACAACUUCAAUCUUUUCUCCAUUUAUCAUGAUGUUGCUUGUUGGUCCAGUUAUAAGGACUUUUGUUUUUUUUAUGUUGAGGCAUAAUCCAUACUGAAGGCUUUAAUCUUUGAUCUUCAUCGGUAAGUGCUUCAAGUCCUCUUCACUUUCAGCAAGCAAGAUUGUAUCAUCUGCAUAUCGCAGGUUGUUAAUGAGUCUUCCUCCAAUCCUGAUCCCGCCUCCAGUUUCUUGGAUUAUUCGUUCAGCAUACAGAUUGAAUAAGUAUGGUGAAGCAUACUUCUUCUAAUUUUAAACCGCACAGUAUCCCCUUGUUCUGUUCAAACCACUGCCUCUUGGUAUAUGUGCAGGUUUCACAUAAGCACAAUUAAGUGCUCUGGAAUUCCCAUUCUUCAUAAUGUUAUUCAUAAUUUGUAAUGAUCCAUGCAGUCAAAUGCCUUUGUGUCAUCAAUAAAACACAAGUAAACAUCUUUCUGGUAUUCUCUGCUUUCAACCAAGAUCCAUCUGACAUCAGCAGUGAUAUCCCUCUUUCCAUGUCUUCUUCUGAAUCUGGUUUGACUUUCUGGCAAUUCCCUAUUGAGGUACUGCUGCAACCAUUUUUGAAUUAUUUUCAGCAAGAUUUUACUUGUGGGUGAUACUAACGAUACUGUUUGAUACUUUCUGCGUUCUGUUGGAUCACCUUUCUUUGGAAUGGGCACAAAUAUGAAUCUCUUCCAGUCGAUUGGCCAGGUAGCUGUCUUCCAAAUUUCUUGGCAUAGAUAAAUGAGCCCUUCCAGUGCUGCAUCAGUUUGUAGGAAUAUCUCAUUUGGUAUUCCAUCAAUUCCUGGAGCCUUCAUUUUUGCCAAUGUCUCUGGUACAGCUUGAACUUCUUCCUUCAGUAUCAUUGACUCCUGAUCAUAUACUACCUCCUGAAAUGAUUGAACAUCGACCAGUUCUUUUCGGUACAGUGACUGUGUGUAUUCCAUCUUCUUUUGAUGCUUCCUGCAUCAUUCAAUAUUUUGCCUAUAAAAUCCUUCAGUAUUGCAACUUGAGGGUUGAAUUUUUUCUUCAGUUCUUUCAGCUUGAGAAAUGCUGAGUGUGUUCUCCCCUUUUGGUUUUCUAACUCUAGGUCUUUGCACAUUUCAUUAUAAUACUUUGCCUCCUUGAGCCGCCUUUGAAACCUGUUCAGCUCUUUUACUUCAUCAUUUCUUCAAGUCACUUCACUGUAUGUUCAAGAACAAGUUUCACAGUCUUUUCUGAUACCCAUUUUGGUCUUUUGCCUUCUUUCCAUCUUUCUUUACUCAUGUUUAUUUCCUAGCCCCAUAGGCAUUGGAGUUCAUAAAUCUUUCAGAGCCUAGUGCUAUUUUCUUUGCAAUAUAAUCCCAACUGAAAAGAGAAAAUUCUUGUCAUUACCCUCCAUGACCUAAAUAUAACAAGAUAAUAAAUACUGAGUCUCAGGCCUUUGCUCUCUGAUUUAAGAUGAAGAACCCUAAGUUAAACAUUCUUUGUGUCAUGUAUUUAUAAAUCACACAGUUGAAAAUUUGUCCUCACUUAAUGUUUUUCCUGAGUCAGAGAACAGUCAUUUUCCUUUGACCUUUUUCUGUGGUAGCAUUUUAUGCUGUUCUGGUUACUACCAGCAAUACAGGCUAAACAACAACCCAGAGCUUAACCCUCUGACCUCGUCCUUAGUCAUCGACUUUUGGCUGCUGAUAGAUUUGAAGUCAGGCUGUAUCUGAGGAAGGGAACAUGGAGAUCUAGAGGAGAAAUAAGAUACCUGUUUCACUUCUAGAGGGUUGAAAACUGAGCCAUGGUACCAGACAAUAAAAAGGUAAUGCGUGCAAAGUGUUCAUAAAUAACUUUCAUUGGGAAGCUAUUUGCCUCCGUCUUUCUGUUUGGCACAUCCAGGCUGUCUUCCCCAGGUUCUACGGGCCUCCCCCAUUCAAGCACAUGAAUCUCAGGUGGUGACAUUCGCCCUAACUCAAGUUCUUCCUCUUUUGCACCAUUUUUUAAAUUCUGAAAGUGGAAGAAGUGCGUUUUUCUUAACACCUGCCAGCUACAUGAAGGCAAUUUGAGCAAAAUAACAUGAGGCAAGUGCACAGCAGUCCAUGAAAGAAUUGUGUUAUGAAAGUAGAAAGUGCAGUUAUUGCCCUGUAGAAGUGUGAUCAGUUUACAAAAAUUUAUUAAGCACCUUGGGAACUUUGGAUAGAAAAUCAUAAUGUGAAUAUUAGUCAUUCAUUCCAUUGUCAUCCUUGUCUCACUUUACCAGAGAUAUGUUUUACUAGUUUGCUCAGAUUCCCGUGACUCCAGUUUCACAUGAGGUCGAGGACUUCUCAAUCGAAGUCUUUAGUGGCUUCAGUAGGUCUGAAAUUUCAGAGUAUUGAGCAAGGCCUACACUGAGCGAGAGCAUGACCUAAUAAGAUUGGACUGUCAAAACAAGAAGCACCAGUCUGAGGUUGAAAGGUUUUUAAGAAGGAAAUGUUAAAGCUCUGCUGUGAGAACCUCGAAACGAUAAUAAAGCAUGUAGGUUAGAAGCCUGUUUCUUUUUUACUUUUACUAAGAUAGCUGGUACACUCACCCUAUUUAAACAGAGACACUGAUGCGGAAUGAAUUAUGAUUAAACAGAAACAAUAGAUGGUAUCUUUCUAUUGGGAAACUCUAAUCAUUUGUAUAACAAGUAGGAUGAGGCAUCAGAAAAUACAUGAAAUAUUUUGCUCAGGCUGAAGAAUACUUGGAGAGACUAGCUCCAGAAAUGCCCUAAGAGAGAAGAUACAGCAUCCGUUAGGAGCUCAGACUCUAAUUGGAGAGAAGUGGGUUCUGUUCCCAGCUCAUCAGCUGUGAGAUUUCGGACAAGUUGUUUAACCUUUUUGCUCCUCAAUUUUUACCCCUGAGAUGAGAAUUGGAGCAUUAUUGGAUUGCCAUGGUGUUUGAAAGAGAUAAUGCGUGGAGAGGGCUUGAAACAAUGCCUGGCAUGUAAGUGCCCAAUAAAUGAUACCAAUUAUUAUUGGGUAAAACGGAAAUGUGUAAUAGCUUUCUGUUUUGAAUAUUCAAUAUGGUUUCCGAAAUAAAGACCAGUAUCAUAGAUAACUUCAGUUCUAAUUUUUCCAUAAUUACUCUGAAUUCCUGGUUGCUUUAAGCCACUUAAUCUUCUCAUUCAUUCUCCAGUAAUUUCUCAUUCUCUCAGCCAGUACCGUUCUAAUGAAUAAAUGCCUAAGACCAAAUCCGAACGGAGGCUUAGGCUGACUUUGAGACUGAGUCACUGUGAUUUAUUUCAACUUUCUUUUUUUUUUUCUGUUCCUGUACUGAGGAUUUAAUACGUAACACUUGCACUAUACCUACUGCUGAAUUACAGUGUGAUAGUUAAUGAGAUGUGUUUAUGAAAUGUCUUACAGUUUGUAAUAAAUCCAUCACUUAUAAUAAGAAAACGUUAAUAAAGAAUAUAGUCUAUUGAUGAAUUUAGAUAGAUUACAAAGGGGGAAGAACCAGUGCUAAUGGUGAUCUCAUUUUUAAUAUGUUAGAUAAUUUGAUGGCUCGGAGUUACGCCCUGGUCACUAACUGCUCUCACGCUGUCUUCUUUGUGUAACUGGGGGAAGAUUUGGUUCUAGGGGCUCUACUGAGGCAUUUGGGUUGCCACCAGCAGAGGGCUUGAUCUGUGCAGCCACAGCUAGAGACAGAAGCAAAUAAUUCCUUUCCAAAUAAUAGAAACCAUGAAGAAAGCACUCUCCUCAAUUCUGGAUGGAAUUAGACACCAAAUAAGAAUUCUCUUUAGCUCACCUCUUUGUUUCAUGUAAAACACAGAAUCUUUGUAGAAAUCUGAAAAAAGAUAUAUACAUAUGUAUAUAUAUAUAUAUAUAUAUACACACACACAAACUGUUUAACGUUUCAUUUUUCCCCAUCAAGUCUCCAAAGAAGGGAAUCUGUUUUCACCUUGGACUUUGAGAAACAUGGGCAAUAAAAAACAGUUCGUUUGCUCUAACCUUGUUUAUGAUGUCACUAGAAAUUCUUGAUAAAGUUGUCAACGUGAGUAUGCCAUUUAAUUAAUAGACCAUGCUUUCUUUAUUCGUGAUAUGUUGUGCAAUGCAUCAGGCAUUUCCCCUUUCUUUCCUGUAAAUUGUAACUUUCUGGUGAUUAGCAUUUGAAGUCUUUUCCUGAUUAAGGAAUUGUCAGCUGAAAUCAUCAGGGAUUUCCCCUCAGCUGUUCUGAAAGAAAUCUGGAGAAUUUAAUAUGUUGCUUGGAAAUUAAGAAAUUUGGAGUAAUUGUGUGAUCGUAAAUGGUGAAAUAGAAUCAAGAGAUGAUUGGCUUUCUUGAAAAUAAGAUAAUGACAGGGUUACAGAAGAUAUAAUUAAUAAACUUUAAUGUCUCUGUUUUAUGCUUUUCAAGAUUUUUGUUCUAUUUUUGAGAUAAAGUAGGAACAUUAAAGUAAAUUAGCAUUUCCAGGGUAGUUAUUCAGAAUAGUGGAAAGAAAAAGAUUAGCAUGUGGUACACAAAGACCAAUAAUCAAAGAGGGUAGCAAACAUGCAGAAAUUUUAAAAUAAAAUUUAAGAUGCUUGGAAAGUGGGUUUGUUUUAUUUAAUUUCUUGAUUUCCUCACAGUUAACAGAAACCUUCAUGGUUUGAAGCAUUACUAGAAAACCAUCUAAAGUAUAUACCCUUGUUCCCUCCACAGUGCUACGAAAAAAAAAGAUGGCAGACUGGGGUACAGGAGAGCACUCUAGACAAAGCAAAGAGGAAGAAGCCUGAUUUAGGUGCAGAUUGGUUGCCAUCAAGUUGAUUCUGACCUAAUGAUGACCCCAUGUGUGUCAGAGUAGAACUGUGCUCUGUGGGGUUUUCAGGCUGAUUUUCCAGAAGUAGAUCACCAGGCCUUUCUUCCAAGGUGCCUUGGGUAGACUUGAACCUCCAAGCUUUUGGUUAGUAGCCAAGUGCAUUAACCAUUUCCCCCACCCAGGGACUCCUUUACAUGUAAGGGGUACACCCCUUGCCUUCUAGUAGAUAGUAAGCUUUCUGCCCAGUGACAGGAUGGGGUGAGGCAGGAUGGGAUAGGGUGGGGUGAGCAGGGGUCAGCUGGUUGGUGCGAUAAAGGAUGAGGACCCUAUUUGAAAAGAAUCGUCAGAGAAGACCUCUCAGAGAAGUAACCUUUGAGCAGCGCUAGAAGGAACCAGCAUAGACAGCCAGAGAAAAGUUCUGCAAGUAUGGUGGAAAGGAAGUUGCACAUGCAAACGCCCUGGGGCUGGAAUGAAUUUGAUGUUCAAGAAAUGAUAAGAAGGCAGGUGUAGCAGGAACAUAGAGGAAAAGUGUAGGGAGAAGACCUGAAAGGUAAGAAGGGGCAGAUCUGAUAAAAGUAAGCUACAGGGAGAAAAUAAUAGCCGUUGGGUUCAUUUUACCAAAGCUUCCUACUACAGUGUUUGAAUAUUAUCCCAAUUCUAAAAAUGGCGUGUGAAAAACACUUAAAAGGAAUAAUAAGGGUCUGUGUGCCAAGUUUGAACCAACUGCAAGUUCCAAAUUUGUAUUUGAUGACAGAUAGGGCUUGCUCUGAGUGGUAUCUCUUGGAAAGAGAAGGCCCUCACGACUUGCCAGCUACACCUCUCCUGUUGUCAGCUUCCACAUAAACAAAGGAGACUGGCGCUCAGUAUGGUGGCCUCAAACCCUGUGAUGUGUCUUCUCCCUUCAUCCUCAGCCCUAGCAUAUGCAUUACACAUGCGCCGAGAGUUUCAGGGCUCUUUAUGCCCCAUAUUCCUCCAUAGUCAAAAUGUGAUACUGCUCAGUCUCAUGACAAGGAAGGAACCCCACCCCCACCCUGCCACACACACACACACACACACACACACACACACACACACACACACACACACAACUUUACAUUCCUUCUCUCCAAAGGUAGGAGAAAUCAGUUUAGCAAGAUAAAGUGAGACAUGGAAGGGAGCCAAAUAAUAGACCCGAGAUUCCUGGGAAACCAAGCUAUUACAACCAACUGGUGGCAGAAAACUCGGAUGCUUUCUCACUGUGCUCUUCCAACCCACUGAGAACUCCUGGGCAACCCAGUCUGAACACCUUAAGGCUAGAUAGCAUUUUCAGGGUAGUUAUUUAGAAUAGUGGAAAGAAAAAGAUUAGCACGUGGUACACAAAAACCAGUAAUCGAAGAGGGUAGCAAAUAUGGAGAAAUGUGAGUUGGAUGGAUGUAGGAGAUGAUUUGUUCAAAAUCAGUUCGCAACUAGAAGCAAAGUCUUCAAUGCCUAAGUGGAUACUGAAGCAGCAGGCCAAUUCCUCCUUGCCCCUAAAAGCCUCUACAGACCCUAUAAAGCAGUAACGUGCCUUUACGUUCUCAGUUUCCUUUCAAAGAGCCUUGCGUUUUUAGGCACUUGACCACUCCCUGAAAAUAACCAAGCCCAGGUGGUGCGUGUCUGCCGAUUUUCUUUUUUCCACCUCUGGUAGUGGGACUGUGAUUCUGACAGUAGCUUUCCUUCUCAAUAGUAAGUAUCUUGUAGAAAUCUAUUGAGUGCAUUCGCUGCGCAUCAUUCCUGCACAGCAUGCCAGCUGUUGAUGACACAGCACUUCAGUAAGAUGCUAGCUGGAGUCUCGCUGAGGAAAUAGGCAGGCGUGAGAAGCAUUGUACCAUAUUUUUACACAAAUUACGCAUGUUAUACAAGAAAUGUUUUACUUAAUUUCAUCAUUUCUGCAUGUCAUGUGUGGGUGCAUUGUAUAUGUGGGCGCAUUAUUUAUGUCAGCAUGUUAUUUGAGAAAAUACGGUAACAGCAGAGGUAUGAACAAAGUGUCAUGUAAGGCAGAGUGAGAGCAACUGAUUGUAGGACUGAAGGAGGGCGUCAAGUAACUAGACGUAUGUUGAAGGAUUUAGAGGAUGGAGAUAUAAUUAGACACAGAGAAUCACAUGAGCCAAGACAGAAACAGAAGAGCGGGCGUGCAUAGCAUAUUCCUUCAACAUCGACAUUUUCAUGAGACUGGAACCUUCUUUACCUUUUUUUUUCCGUGUGUGGGGGCAGGGAAAAACAGAUGGAUGGAGAGUACAGAAAUAGAGAAAUAAGGACAAGGGGGAGUAGAGAAGUAGGCAAUGGGAAGCUCCAAGUAACAAAGCAGUAGUAUAUGGGCCUCAGGAAGUUCUUUACCUGGAGCUCCAGUCUCACAUCAGCAAUGUGGGAAAGCUUCUGCCUGGUAGAGUUGCUCUGAGGAUGAAAUAAGGUGCAUUAUAACAUAGUUGUUAGGAGCUAGGCUUGAAGCCAGAAAGGCCUGCCUUCAAAUUGUGCUACCUUCUUGGGCUAGCUAAGUAAUUUUGCAUGUCCCUGAACCUCAGUUUCCUUGGCUAUAAAAUGGGAAUAAUGGCAUCUCCCUCACGGGCUUGUGAGGAUUCCAUCAGCUAAUGCUUGGCAGUGCUUAUCAGCACAGCGCCAGAUACAUGGUCAGCACUCAGCAAAUGUUAGCUCCCCUCCUCCAUCAUCACAGAUGACAGACCUUUGCUGAAGGGUAGUUCCUUUCCCCUAAGGAAAUGUGAUAGCUGGCAAUUUUAAAUCCCUUGGUAAUUUUGUCACUGUAACUGUGCUAAGAGAGCAGCUUGACCUUUUUAGCAGUUAUCUUUUCCAUGGAGGGGAUCUCUCUUUCAGGCUGCACUGUGUUUGUCUUCCUUUGUUGAACAGUAGCCUCGUUCCUGUCAAAUGCCUGAUGCUGACGAAUGCCAUCCCCAGGCAAGUAGGUGAAUAGCAUUCACCACUCCUGGAUUCAACUCUUCUAAUUUGAGGUAACUUCCUACCUUCAACAGCAUACCCUUAAGCUCUGUACAACUCAGAUAUAUACAGUGAAACCUGUGAAAGCUGGAACUCAACAGGACUGCCUUGUUUUUCUAAGUCUUUCCAAGUUUUCUGCCUUUGAUAGGGUGCAGUUACCACUUUUCUGUCACUCUAUUUAGCAGAACAUAUUUGAGUUUUCCUUUUCUGACAGGUUUCCACCUUACACGGGUUCCAGCUUUUGCAAGUUGACUGUAUUUAUUUAUAUAUAUAUAUAUGUAUAUAUAGACACGUGAUAUUGUAUAUAUGUAUAUACUAUACUGUGAGAAGCAUAUGACCCAAGGCCCGGCACUAAAGUAGGUAGCUGCCCUGUUAGGAAAAUAGAGCUAUAGAACUUGCAGAAAACAGGCAACAUUAUGAAGAAAGUAUAUUACAAAGUACAAAGUCUAUUCCAAGUAUGUUUAUGACUCUGGCAAUAAGUACCUUGCCCACCCAGGAAAGGGAGAGGAAGCUGGAGUUUUCAGGGGAGGCUCCAGGCUGUAGGAGCUGUAUUAUGACCAACAAGCAUUUCUUAGAAUAACCAUCAUUUUUGGUUUUACAACAUCGCCCCACCUUCCCCACAAACCCUAAAGGUGAGGGAAAAUAAGACUAUGCUUUAAAGCAGUAGUUCCCAAAAGAUGGCUUCUUUGUACCUCUACUCUUGCUCUAUACUCUGAAAUCUCCCCUACUAAUCUGCAUUUACUGAUAAUAAUUUAUAUCUUGCAUGUUUUAUUAAUCAAAGACAGUUGCCCGUCAGAGAUCUUGAUCAGCAUAAGUCAUGUUAACUCGGUAUAGCAACACUGUUAUUGAAUUGCAGUUAUUAAAAGGAAAAAGAAGAAGCUAGGCUGUUUUACUUAUUAUGAAUCUAGACUGUAAACUCCUGUUAAUACCAUGUACAUAUGUGUAUCCAGAAAAGGUGCAAAAUCCAGAAGCCAUACAGGAAAAGACUGAUAAAGUGGACUACGUAAAAAUUUAAAAAAUUAUUCAUGGCAAAACAUACCCUGAGUAACAUCAAAAGACAAACUAUCAACUGAGGGGGAAAAAAUGUAAUUCAUGUAGUAAAAGCUUAAUUUCCUGCACAAAGAUUUCUUAUAAACCAGUAGGAAAAUGCCAAGCCAUUGCUUUUUUAAAAAGUUAAAGGACAUAAGCAGGCAAUUUCAGAAAAAGAAAUACCUAUCACCAAUAAACAUAUAAAAAGAUGUUUAAUCUUACCAAAAAAAAUGAAAAUGUAAUAAACUUUUUCAACUAUCAGAUUAGUAAAGACAUACAUGUCUGAUAACACUCAAUGUUGUAGAGUAUAGGAAUUUACAAAAAUUGUUAGUAGGACUGUUGAUUGGCACAACCUUUUUGCAAGGAAGGUUGGCAAAAUCACUUGAGUUUAAAACGUACCUACCCUUUAAUCUAACAGUGACACUUUGAAUAAUUUAAGAGAUAGAUCCACAUAUAGAAUCAAAGGUAUGCGUGCAGUGACUAUGCAGUGAUGUUCAGUGCAGCAUCUGUUAUAUCAGCCAAAAACUAGAAGCAAAAUUUCAGCUUCUGAUCAAGAUGAAGUAACAAGGACCAGCUUUAACCUCCCACCUGAAACAAACAAACAAAAAAGGACAAAAUAUAAGGAACAGCUGCACUCAAGACACUGUACAUCAGUCAUUGAAGGGCAGUGAUCUCUGAAGAUAGAAAGCAAAUGAAGUGAGCCCAUGAUUGACCCAGCUACCGCCUAGAGAGAGUUCCCAGAACAUUGCACGUGGAUGGGGAAACCAGGCAGAUCUCUGUGGUUGCCCUGAGUGGAGAAGAUGACAUUAGGAGUUCAGGAAGGCCAGGAUGGCUAGAGGAGAGGAGAGAGCUACACAGAAAGAUGGCGACUUGAAAGAAUCUCCCCUGAGUAUUUAGUUGAGUACCAAUGAGCACAUGCAUGUGAGGAAGCUACUCAAGGCCAGGGAAAGAAGCAUCUGAAAUAUUAGAGAGAAUGGUGCUUGGAACUCUCAGUAGGCUGGGAAUAGUGCCUGUAUCUACACAAGGAAAUGAAGAACACCAUAAAGGGUAACUACAUGGGUGUGUAAAUAUAUAUAUGUAUAAAUACAUGUAUAAAGUUUCUUUUCCUUAUUAGUUUAACCUCUUUGAAUGACAACUCGUUGCGUCAAGUCAAUUCCAACUCAUGGCGACCCUAUACAGCAGAGUAGAACUGCCCCAUGGGGUUUCCAAGGAGCAACUGUUGGAUUUGGAUUGCCGACCUUUUGGUUAGCAGCCGUAGCUCUUAACCAGUACACCACCAGGGAUUUCCUUUGAAUGAUAAUCAACUUUUUAAAGCGAAAAUAAUAACAGUAUAUUUUGAGGUUUAUGAAAUAUGUAGAAGUCAAAUGAAUAACAGCAGUAAUACAAAGGCCAGGAUAGGAGAAAUGGAAGUAUACUGUUUUAAGGUUACAACGGCACUGGGUUCUGGGUUUAUACUAUACAUGGAGCCCUGGUAGCACAGUGGCUAAGAGCUAUGGCUGCUAACCAACUGCAGUUCAAAUCCACCAGCUGCUCCUCGGAACCCGUAUGGAACAGUUCUACUCUGUCCUGUAGGGUUGCUGUGAGUUGGAAUUGACUCAACGGCAACGGGUUUUUGGUUUAACUGUACAGGAAGUUCUUGGAAGAAGUACAACCAGAAUGCUCCUUGGAAGCAAGGAUGGCAAGACUGCCUCUCACAUACUUUGGACAUGUUGUCAGGAGGGACCAGUCCCUGGAGAAUGACAUCAUGCUUGGUAAAGUAGAGGGUCAACGAAAAAGAGGAAGACCCUCAAUGAGAUGGUGUGACACAGUGGCUGCAACGAUGAGCUCAAGCAUAGCAACAACUGUGAGGAUGGGGCAUGACAGUGUUUUGUUCUGUUGUGCAUGGGGUCGCAAUGAGUCAGAGCUGAUUCAAUGGCACCUAGCAACAACAACAUGUAUGAAGUAGUAUGAUAUCACUUAAAGGUAACUAUGAUAAGUAAAAUAAAUGUAUUAUAAAAUAACGCAACCACUAUAAUACCACAGCAAAGUGCUAAUAUAUAAUAAGCCACCAAAGAAGAUAGAAUGCAACCAUAAGAAGUACUCAAUUGAAAAGAUACCAGGAAAAAAAGAACAGAUAAGACAAAUAGAAAACAAAUAGCAAAGUGGUAGAAUUGAAUCUAAUUGUAUUAGUAACCAUGUUAAAUGUAAAAGAUAUGACAUAGUGGUUAAAAGACAGAGAUUAUUAGACUGGAUAUGGAAAAAAAAAGACAACUAUGUGCUGCCUACAAGAAACCCAUCUUAAAUAUAAAGACACAAAUAGAUUAAAAGUAAAUGACUGGAAGAACAUGCUGACAGUAAUCAAAAGAAAGCUCAAGUGACUAUAUUAAUGAAAGUACAUUAAGAAACUGGGAAAAGGAGCAAAUGAAACCCAAAGUAAGCAGGUGAAAGAGAAAAUAAAGAUCAGAGUGAAAAUUAGUGAAAUAGAAAUCAGAAAAUCUAUAGAAAAAUUCAUUGAAACCAAAGAGCAAGUUAUUUGAAAAGAUGGAUAAAAUCAAUAACCCUCUAGCCAGAAUGAGGAGGAAAAACAGAAGGAUUAUACAAGUUACCAGUAUCAGGAGCGAGAAGGGUGAUGUCAGCCAGAUACUCCAUAUACUAAAGGGAUAAUAUGUUAGCAUUAGGAACAACUUUAUGCCAAUAAAUUGAACACAGAUGAAAUGGGCAGAUUCCUUGAAAGGCUCAACUACCAAAGCUCUCUUAAAUAGAUAACACGACUAGUGCUGUAUCUGUUUUUAAAAAUGAAUUUGUAGUUAUAAGCAUUUCCCAGAAAGAAAACCCCAGGCCCAUGUGGCUUCUUGGUGAAUUCUACCAUAUAAGGAAGAAAUAAUUCCAGUUUUACCCAACCUUUUCCAGCAAGUUGAAGAGGAAUACUACCCAAUACAUUCAGUGAGAGACCAGCAUUACCAUGAUACCAAAAUCAGAGAAAGACAUUACAAGAACAGAAAACUACAGACCAUUAUCCCUCCUGAACAUAGAUGUAAAAAUUCUAAACAAAAUUUUAGUAAAUCAAAUCCUAAUACAUAUAAAAAGUAUAAUUCAAUGUGACCAAGUGAUGUUUAUUCCAGGAAUGCAGGGUUGGCUUAACAUUUAAGAAGAGGUGUAAUUCACCAUGUUAACAGACCAAAAAAAAAGAAAGAAAAAUCAUGUGAUCAUUUAAAUAGAUGCACAAAAAGCAUUGGACAAAAUCCAAUAAUGCUUCUUGGUAAACACAAAACUCUUAGUAAACUAAGAAAAAAAGGAAACUUCACCCUGAUAAAAGGGCCAUCUUUGAAAAACUUCUAGCUCACAUCAUAGUUAAUGGUAAAAAACGGGAAAUUUGUUCCCCUACAAGAAGAAAGGAUGCCUACUCUCAAGACUUCUAUUUAACAUUGUACAGGAGGGUCUAACAAGUGCAAUAGGGCAAGAAAAAACAAUAAAGUCACCUGGACUGGAAGGGAAUUAACAAAACUGUAUCUAUUUGCAGAUGACAUGAUUACAUAUAUAGAAAACCCAGUGGAAUCUACAAAAAAGCUACUAAUAAGUGAGUUUAGCAAAUUUGUAAGGUACAAGACGAAUAAACAAAAAUCAACUGUACUCUUACAUACUAGAAACAAUCAGAAAUUGAAAUUUUUUAAACGCACUUUAUAACAUCAAAAAAUAUACCUAUGGCUGUAUCUGACAAAAGACGUGCAAGAGCUGUGUACUGAACACUGUAAAAUAUUGCUGGGAGAAAUCAAAGAAAACCUAAAUAAAUGGAGCAAUAUACCAUAUUAAUGAGACAGAAAAUUCAAUAUGCUUAAAAUGUCAAUUCUUACCAAAAUCUCAGCAGUUUGGGUUUUUUGUUUUGUUUUUGUUUGUUGUUUUAUUUUAAUUUUUUUGUCGAUAUCGGCAACCUUAUUCUGAAAUUCAUAUGGAAAUGUGAAAGACUGAAAAGAGCGAAAAUAACUUUGAGAAAGGACAAAAUUGGAGGACUUACUUUAAGACUUAAAAAGCGACAGCAAUCAAGACUGUGGUAAGAUAGACAGCAGUUAAACAGGUAAAUGAAAUAAAAUAGAGUAAAAAAAUAGACCCAUAUGUAGGUAGUCAGUUGGUUUUUCACAAAUAUGCAAAAGACAGUGCAGUGGUUGUCCAUAAACAUCCCAGUACAGUUCAAUGAAGAAAGGACAGUCUCUUCAGUAAAGUAGUCCUGUAACAAUUGGUUAACUAUAUAUUUUUGAAAAAGCUUUGAUCCACAUCUCACAUCAUAUACAAAAAAAUGAAUCAUAGAUCUAAAACUCUAAAGUUCUAAAAGAAAACAUAGGAGAAACUGUGACAUUGAUUUAGGCAAAUAUUUCUUAGAACACCAAAAGGAAACAAAAAUAUGAAUUGGACUUCAUCAAAAUUAAGAACUUUUGAGUUUUGAAAGACACUCAGGAGAAUGGAAAGAUGAGUGACAGACUGGGAAACAGUAUUUGGAAAUCACAAAUCUAAUAAAGAACUUCUAUCCAGAAUAUGAAAAGAACGCCCAAAACUCAAUAAUAAGAAAACAAUCCAAUGAAAAUGGGAAAAAAAAAAAAAGGCUUUGGAAAGAUAAUUGAAGUGAACAGACAAAUGAGGAAUAUACACAGGUAAGCAGAUCAGCACAAGUAAUGAUGCUCGACCUGAUUAGAAAAAGUAUUGCCUUCCAGUUGAUUCUGACUCAUAGCGACCCUACGGGACAGAAUAGAACUGUCCCACAGAGUUUCGAAGGAGCACCUGGUGGAUUCGAACUGCUGACCUUUUGGUUAGCAGCCGGAGCUCUUAACAAGUACGCUACCAGGGUUUCCAGCCUGAUUAGUCACUAGGUAAAUGCAGAUCAAAACCCUGACGAGCUCCCUGUACACUCCUGUUUGUUGUUGUUAGCCGCCAUGAGGUCACCCCCAGUUCAUGGCAACUGUGCUCAUUCAUGAGUUUCUGAUCAGGCUGUGGUACUCCACAGGGUUUUCAUUGUCUGGUUUUCAGCAGUAGAUCUCCAGGCCUUUCUUCCUAGUACAUCGUAGUCCGGAAGCUUCCCUGAAACCUGUUCAGCAUCACAGCAGCUCAAAAGUCUCACUGACGGACAGGUGGUGGCUGCUCUUGAGGUGCAUUAGCUGGGAACCAAACCUGGCUUUGCCACAUGGAGAACGGAAUUCUACUGCUGAUUUACACCUCGUUAAAAAGGGGGGACAAGAAGCUACUUAAAUGUUCAUUAUUAGGGAAUUAAUUAAAUAAAUUCUGAAGUUAAUCUACAUGUGCCAAUAUGAAAUGAUCCCAAAAAUAUAUAUUAAUCAAUGAAAAAAAGCGAGGCACAAAACAAUACGUAUUAAUGUAUGUCCUUUUGAGUGAAAAAUAGGUAUUAUAUAUGUGUGUGUGCUUAUAUAUAUUAUGUGUAUACAUAUACAUUAAAGUGUGUGUAUGUGUGUAUCCUAAGGGGUUUCAGUGGUUUUUUCCGAGGAUUGGGACUGUGGUUCUGUGGAAAAGAGAGGGAGACAUUCACUUCUCAUUUUAUUCACUUCUGUUGAAUUUUUUUACCGUAUGUGUGCGCAAGUAUUCUUUUAUAAAUUUUUUUAAAACCUGUUUAAAAAAGUUAAAGAGGGAAAGAGAGAAAAAUCAAAGUUGGCGAUGAUCAUUUAAAAUAUACUGUAAUUACCAGCUGAAGAUAAUAUAAUUACCAAUUGAAAUAUAAUCCAGUUUAGUUUUUAUUCUUUUAAUCCUUAUAAAAUAUCCUUUUUUUAAGAGGCUAUGAAGACCGUCCUGGGUUAAGAAAUUGGGUUAUGGGUUUGUCUCAAGUAACUAAAAUGUUUUAUGAGCCUUAUGCCUUAUUUCUUGAUCAGAUUGAAGUAGGAAAGUAUUAUUUUUAAAAAGGCCUUUUAGGUUGAGCUGAAACAUCUACUUUUUACUAGGAUGUGAGAGCUACGGCUGUAUUUCAAGAGAAAGAAAUGGAACUGAGGAGAUCAGGCCUGCUUUUCCAUACAGGUGUUGGGCACAGAAUAGAGCAAAAGAAAAGGUGUCAAAAGUAAGAUUUCUUUAAGAAUAUUAUAAAACUUGCACUUUUGAACUGAAAGACCCCAUUUCUCCAACAUGGUGUAAGUAACCACAAAGUCGAUGUAUGUAAUCAUUGGAGGAUUUAGAGGCAAAACUGUAACUAAUUAUCAGAAGAUUACCAUGAAUGGUUUUACAAAGACUUCUUGACAACUCUGAAUGGGUUGGAAGGAUUAAUGAAUAGGUAGCCUGGGAACUCCCUUUGAAUCUUUUGAGAUUAGUAUGCAUUAAAGAACUCCUCCUCAAUAAAAGAUUGUCAUACUCAAGAACAGUCGUAAUUAUGGGUGAGGUUUUCCAGCACAAGGAAAUGCAUUUUUUAAAACUGUUUGCUUCAGUGAGACAAACUUUUGAGGAAACAGCACAGGCCAUUUUUCUAGAUUGGAUAACAUCAUGCAAACACUCCUUGCUGACCCCUUUCUCCGGACUUCUCCUAUAGUUUUUUAGUUAUCACAUUCAACGUGACAGUCAGAAUCUUGUCCACAAACAGCGAUGUCCUGAACCCGACUGUGUGAACCGUCAUGAUGCAUCUAUCUUUAUAAGAGAUGCCUGAAUUAUUUAUAAGGUCAUGUCAUUGGUGCAGAGCAGGGUGGGGCUAAGUAUAAUGAACGUAUUCUCCAUUUAAGAAUCAAUUUCUAUGCCUGUCUCAUCCAAUUCUAGUGAAGAGAGUAAAGUAGAUGUGUAGCAGAGCACCUAGAGAGUUAUAAAUGUAUACAUGACCAAACAACUUGAGGGCCCAGAUGGUGCACCUUGUACCAGGCAUGAGAAGUAUCUCAGUACAUAUUUUCACUGGAGAAAAUCUGGGCGCUUAGCCCCACUGGUUUGGGAACUUGAUUAGCUGCCAAGCCAGAGGUGGGUGAUGAGUAGUCCUCUCGUGACAGCGCAACUCAAACUGUGGUCUUGAGGAUCCUCUGUAUGACUCACAGACUGGUGCACAGUCUCAGCGUUGAGUGUUUGGUUGCUGGCGUGAAUCAGUGGUUGAUAUCCAUCCUUGGUGUUCCAUCAGAGACGGCAACAGCCUUUUCCAUUCAUUCCAGUCAGCUGGGCUUCCAUUUUCUGUGUGUGGUGGUGUUUUCUUUUUUAGUGGCAGGGGAGUUAUAAUCUUGAAAUGUUACAGCUAGAAAUACUAUCCAAGGUCAUCUAGUCCCAACCAUCUCAUAGAUGAGGAGAUUUCUAGUUACUGGUUCAGUGAGACUAGAAGUCAGGCCUCUAGACCCCCAGUUCAGUGCCUCCUCUACUGCCUACAUUGCACCUGCCCUCUCAUACCAGCUGCAGACCAAAGACAUGUGAGAAAUGUUGUCCAGAUUCACUCAAGAUUGAGCUGUGACCAAGAUAGCCAUUUUAUUAGUUUGGAUCAAGAGAAAACCACUGUUGAAUCAUGUUGCAGCAAAAUCAAGGUACGUCCUCAUCGUUCCAUAAAACCCCACCUGGGACACCAAGUCUGAAUUAUAGCAACACCAGCCUGACCUCAGUCCGCAGCAAAGCAUCCUUUCUUAAUAAGUUACCUCGGUGAGAACAUAGGUACAAUGUUCUUGGACUCUGGGACAGCAGCAGCUCACCACUGCAGGAGCCCUCAGCUGUGAACAGGGCUGGCCACAUCAGCUUGGCCCUUCCUUCAAAGCUGCCACACAAACCUUCCAAUUGCCAUUGUUUUUUGAUAUCCUGUUUCCUUUCUUUUUAGUUACCAAGAACAGUUCCCUUUGAACAGAUACUGUGCUUUGUUUACAUUCGGGGUUAGGUAUUUAUGUUGAUUUCCACCUGGAGUCCACGUCUGCCUGUGAUUAUAGACAACCUCAUUCCCAGGUGAUCUGAUUCUCCAGCAACACACCUGGCUAGCUUGUGCUUCUGAACAAAUUUUGAGAGUCUGGAGGGCAUUUUUUACUUGAAGGAAUAAUCCUUUGUUGUCGUCUCGCCUGGGUAUAAAGCAAAGCUAGUGGGUAACUUCUUUAUCUUGUGGCUCCAAAUCCACUGCUGUGGAGUCUAUUCCAACUCAUAGCGACCCUAUAGGACAAAGAAGAACUGCCUACAUAGAAUUUCAAGGCUAUAAAUCUUUUACAGAAGCAGACUGCCACAACUUUCUCCCAUGGAGCAGCUGGUGGGUUUGAACUGCCGAUCUUUUGGUUAGCAGCUGAGUGAUUUAACUACUGCGCCAUCAAGGUUCCUUCUUGUGGCACCAUCACAGUAUAAAACCCAAACCCAUUGCCGUCAAGUCAGUUCCGACUCGUGGUGACCCCAUGUGUGUCAGAGUAAAACUGCACUCCAUAGGAUUUUCAAUGUCUAUGAUCUUACGGAAGUAGAUAGCCAGGCCUUUCUUCUCCAGUGCCACUGGGUGGAUUCAGACUGCCAACUUAGUGGCCAAGAGCAAACCAUUUGCCCUACCCAGGGACCUCAUCAUAGUAUAACCCAUUGCUGUUGAGUCAACUCCAACUCAUUAGAGUGGUAAAUAGUGUGGCUUCUGGAACCAGGCUUAUUAGCUGUGCGACAUCAGGCAAAUAUACCUCUCUGUGCCUUGGUUUCCUCAUCUGUAAAAUGGAGAUAAUAUUCGUAAUCUGCCUCAUAGAGUCGCUGUGAGAACACAUCGUGAAUUGAGUGAAUUCAUGUAGAAUAUUAGCUUAGCACAGGGCCUGGAACUCAGUGAAAUGAUGGGUAGUAGUGGUAGCGGUGGUGGUCAUAUUAGUAAGAAUGGUUGUUAUUGCCACUACUCUCCAGCCCUCUCCAAAAGAACCACCACUACCUAGAACCACAGACCUUUGGGCCACUGAUUUGGGAGUUAGAGCUUAGGUGGGUAAGCUGAAGGGAUGGGGGAGGUGAUAAAGACCUAGGAAUGGGAGGGAUUGAGUAGCUGUAAGUAGGCAGGUCAAGUGGCUCUCAGAGGGAUGAAAAUGAAGCUGCUCUUUUGCUAGAGGGAAACAGAAGGAGCUUUUGACCCUCCACGAAGAAAAGUACAAAUCUACUCCAUUACUGUUUUGGCAUUCUCAAAUCUCAGAGAGAAAGGCUAGCCUCAAGAAACACAGUUCUACAACACAGGCUUUAGGAAUUAAUGGACCAAAUGAUAAGCUAGCGCCUGGAGGACUCUACAUUUAAUUCCAUGUCUAGUGACAUUCAUUUUGUAAACCUUGAAUGUGUACUGAGUGUGAAGGAAAACAAUUUAGAUUCAUCCCAAUAAGAAGAGGCAGCUGUUGACAGGGGAAGCCUGCUGACCGAGGAUUUCAACAAGCAGUGGUCCUUCCUGGCGCUGCCUCCAGCAAGCAUGUGACCUGGAGCCUUCACCUCUUGCUCUAGGCCACAUUUCUAAAAUGCAGGGUUUGGACAAGGCUCCUUUCAGCUCUGAUGUAAUAACUGAGUCUACUGAAAUAGAAACCCACCUUACUCCCUUGGCGCAUUUGGUUUUUGUGUUUGCGCAUACGCACACAUGAACUCUGAAAGAGGUGGUAAAAUGUCUUAUUCAGGAAGAAAGGUUUCUCAUAAUUUUCAACAAGUCAUUAGACGUCUAUGACUGUUUCCUCACCUGUAAAACGGUUAUCAGUGCCCUGGGCCCUACCUCAUAGGGUGCUUGUGAACAUUAGAUAAUAAAAAGAUUGUAAAACCCUGUGUAAAUGUCAAGUUCUGUGUAAUGGGAAAGAGGAACCUCAAAUAGGGGAGGAAAGCUCAGCAUGUGAAAGAUGAUGCAAACUAUGGAUUUUCUCCCUGACAUUUAAAAAAAAAAAACACAUAUUUUGAGAACCCCUGAAACUAUUGCCCUGAGAUAAUCUUUAAACCUCAAACCAAAAAUUUCCCUUAAAGUCAUUUAAAACCAAAGAUCACUUUAGCUUUAGUAGUUAAAAAGAUCUGCCUUUAGCAUCGUGUUCUUUUAAGAACUAUCUGUAUUGGAUCAAAUUGACAACAGCAACUCGAAAGAUCAGAUAGGGACCUCAGGGGGCAGUGAGUUUAUGUUAAUGAAGGAGGAACAACUCAGAAAAGAAGGGUGAGAAUAGUUGCACAACUCAGAGAAUGUCAUCAAUAUCACUAAACUGUACACGUAGAAACUAUUAAAUUGGCGCAUGCUUUGCUGUGUAUGUUCUCUCAACAAUGACAAAAUAAUUUUUAAAAAUACAUAUUUUCUUCAUUUUUAUCAGAAAAUAGCAGUUCUUUGUAUGUACUUUUAUGCUUAUGCAUUUAUAAUAAUAGCACAGUUUGGGGGACUACAAAGUCAGACCAUGUGGUAAAAAGGUAUUUCCCUGCUUCAGAACCCAAAUCCCCUUGCAAGGAAUUUAAGACAAGCGUACUUUAUGUCAAAUUCCAUUUCAUAGGGAAGUUGCAGUGUCUAGCAUGGACCACUUCUUGCUGUCAGAACUUUAUUUGUAGGGACAGAAUUGUGGCAGUUUAGAGUGCAGUGGGGGCAGUGUGGCCCCCAGUGUGCUUUUUAUAAGCUUCAGUCAGUCACAGCCUUUGCAAGGGCAAGUGAUGGUUCCGUAUUUCAUCUAUUUGGCAACUUUCUCUAAGGAGAUCAAAGCUGCUUUGUGGACUUAAUCUAUUUAAUUCUCACCACAUCCACACCAUGUAAGUAGCUGCUCUAACUCUGCUGAUACGAAACCCACAGCCAGAUACUGGUCUUACGCUAUUUAGUCUUAGGAACCUUUGAUUUCAAAAUUCUUUGGUUUCUCAUGAGCAUCCCCUUUUCAAGGGCGCCUACACAAGCAAAUCAUCAAGAAGAGGAGUUGGAGUCAAACUUUCCAAAUUAUCUUCCCAUUUGUCCAUAUCUCUAAAGUAGACCACUUUGAGAAUUUUGUGAAGGGCAUGCAGUGUUAGCCUCCAAUUCAUAGAUUCUCAGGAAAUUGACAGAUUAACUGAGCAUUCCUAUUCAGUGUUAGAGCUCCUAAAAUUUUUGACUUUAGGCACAAUCAGUUUUAAGGUCACAUUAAUUGCAUGGUUUAUAGAACCACAAAUCCCUUGGUUUGGCUAGUUUUGUGACCUUGAAAAAGAUGCCUACCUUGUGUGAACUUCAGUUUUCAGUAAAACAUGAAUAAGAGCCCUUGCAUCACAGUUGUCUCAGUUAAAUGGGGCAGUGUAUAUAUAAUGAUUAGCACAGGGCCUGGCUCACAGUAAGCCUUCAAUAAAUAAUAGCACUUAACUUUGCAAAGCAAACAGGUUCUUAGAUUAGUUUUACCCUUGUUAAGACUUUCACUCAAUGUUUAAGCUCUAGUCAAGCAAAUCCAGGUAUGUUACAGGUUUUCUUUUUGAAAGAAUGCUUAGUAUGUUGCUGUAGCAAGCCUGCUACCUUCUCCCUUCACUUCAGUGUUGCAUAUGUGUUACAAGAAGCUUUCUCAGGAAGACAUUUCUGUACUUUACCUUGGAUUUGUGUCAAAACAAGAUUACGUUUUUACUUGCCCCGUGAGAAGCUAUUUAGUCUUGUGAACCUUUGAUUUCAAAAUUCUUUGGUUUCUCAUGAGUGUGGUAAGCUUACAUGAGGUAUGCUUGGAAAUACGUAGUCAGUUUGGGUUCUGGUGGUGGGGGGAGCAGGAAGAAGAAAGGGGGGGCGGUGGAUAAAAUGAUCUAAUGCCUUUUGGAACUUGCAAGAGGCAACGUCUGAAUGGAACACUAAAUGUGAAUCCAAUAUCCAGGCAUUUAUUGUUGCCAGCAGCUUUUGUUCCUAAAUGUGGGGCCAUUGAGUUUGUUCCAACCCACAGCGACCCUUUGUACAACAGAAGGAAAUUCUGCCCGGUUCUACCCCAUCCAAUUGUUGCUGUAUUUGAGCCCAUCGUUGCAGCCACUGUGUCAAUCCAUCUUGUUUUUCCUAACCCUCUACUUUACCAAGAAAGAUGUCCUCCAGGGACAUGUCCCUUCUGAUAACAUGUCCAAAGUACGUGAGAUGAAGUCUCUCCAUCCUCGCUUCUAAGGAGCAUUUUGGCUGCACUUCUUCUUCCAAGGCAGAUUUGUUUGUUCUUCUGGCAGUCCAUGGUAUAUUCAACAUUCUUCACCAACACCAUAAUUCAAAUGCAUCAGUUCUUCUUCAGCCUUCCUUAUUCAUUGUCCAGUUUUCCCAUGUGUGUGAGGUGAUUGAAAAUACCAUGGCUUGGGUCAGGCACACCUUAGUCUUCAAUGUGACAUCUUUGCUUUUCAACACUUUAAAAAAGGCCUUUUGCAGCACGUUUGCUCAGUGCAAUACGUCACUUGAUUUCUUGACUGCUUCCUCCAUGGACAUUGAUCAUGAAUCCAAGCAAAAUGAAAUCCUUGACAACUUCAGCCUUUUCUCCAUUUAUCAUGAUGUUGCUUUUUGGUCCAGUUGUGAGGAUUUUUGUUUUCUUUAUGUUGAGGUGUAAUCCAUACUGAAGGCUGUGAUCUUUAAUCUUCAUCACUAAGUGCUUCAAGUCCACCUUACUUUCAGCAAGCAAGGUUGUGUCAUCUGCAUAAGGGGCAGGUUGUUAAUGAAUCUUUCUCCAGUCUUGAUGCCCGGUUCUUCUUCAUGUAGUUCAGCUUCUUGGAUUAUUUGCUCAGCAUACAGAUUGAGUAAGUAUGGUGAAAAAAUACAACCCUGAUGCAUAUCUUUCCUAAUUUUAAACCACACAGUAUCCCCUUGUUUUGUUGGAGGAACUGCCUCUUUGUCUAUGUACAGGUUCCUCAUGAACACAAUUAAGCGUUAUGAAAUUCCCAUUAUUUGCAAUGUUAUCCAUAAUUUGUUAUGAUCCACACAGUCGAAUACCUUUGCAUAGUCAAUAAAACACAGGUAAACAUUUUUUCUGGUAUUCUCUGCUUUCAGCCAAGAUCCAUCUGACAUCAGCAAUGGUAUCCCUCAUUCUAUGUCCUCUUCUGAAUCUGGCUUGCAUUUCUGGCAGUUCUCUGUCAAUUUACUGCUGCAACUGUUUUUUACUCGUCUUCAGCAUAAUUUUACUUGGAUGUGAUAGUAAUGAUACUGUUCGAUCAUUUCCACAUUCUGUUGAAUCAUCUUUCUUUGGAAUGGGCACAAAUAUGGAUCUCUUCCAGUCGGCUGGCCAGGUAGCUGUCUUCCAAAUUUCUUGGCAUAAACUAGUGAUCACUUCCAGCAUUGCAUCCAUUCGUUGAAACAUCUCAGUUGAUAUUCUGUCAAUUCCUGGAGCGUUGUUUUCACCAGUGCUUUCUGUGCAGUUUGGACUUCUUCCUUCAGUACCAUUGAUUCUUAAUCAUAUGCAACCUCCUGAAAUGGUUGAACAUCUACCAAUUCUUUUUGGUACAGUGACUGUGUAUAUUCCUUCCAUCUUCUUUUGAUACCUCCUUUGUUGUUUUUUUUUUUGUUGUUCAGUAUUUUGCCCAUAGAAUCCUUCAAUAUUGCAACUCAAGGCUUGAAUUUUUUCUUCAGUUCUUUCAGCUUGAGAAAAGCUGAGCAUAUUUUUCCUUUUUGGUUUUCUAACUCCAGGUCUUUGCACAUUUCAUUAUAAAACUUUGUCUUCUCAAGCUACCCUUUGAAAUCUCCUGUUCAGCACUUUUACUUCAUCAUUUCUUCCCUUUGCUUUAGCUACUCGAUGUUCAAGAGCAAGUUUCAGAGUCUCUUCUGACAUGCAUUUUGGUCUUUUCUUUCUUUCCUGUCUUUUUAAUGACCCUUUGCUUUCUUUAUGUAUGAUGUCCUUGAUGUCACCGUACAACUUACCUUCAGUCAUUAAUGUUCAGUGCAUUAAAUCUAUCGUUGAGAUGGCCUCUAAAUUCAGGUGGGAUAUACUAAAGGUCAUAGCUUGAUUCUCAUGGUCUUGUUUUAACUUUCUUCAGCUUCAACUUAAAUUUGCAUAUAAGCAAUUGAUGGUCUGCCCCAGGCCCUGUUCUGACUGAUGAUAUUGAGCUUCUCCAUCAUCCCUUCCCACAGAUGUAAUUGAUUUGAUUCCAAUAUAUUCCAUCCAGCAAGGUCGACAUCCAUUGUUACUGUUUAUGUUGUUGAAAAAGGCAUUUCCAAUGAGUAAGUUAUUGGUCUUGCAAAAUUCUAUCAUGCAAUCUCCUUCAUUGUUUCUAACACCAAGGCUGUAUUUUCCAACUAUUGAUCCUUCUUCUUUGUUUCCAACUUUCACAUUCCAAUUGCCAGUAAUAUCAGUGCAUCCCGACUGAAUGUUAGAUCAAUUUCAGACUGCAGUCUUGUAGGCAUAUGGAUAUUAUCAUAUCACUGACAACAUUGUAUUUCAGGAUAUAUUUUGAAAUGUCCUUUUUGACAAUGUGAUUCCAUUCCUCUUCAAUUUGUCUUUCCUGGCAUAUUAGACCAUAUGAUUGUUCAAUUCAGAAGGGCCAGCAUCAGUCCAUUUCAGCUCAAUAAUGCCUAGGAUAUCGAUUUUCAAGGAUUCCAUUUCAUUUUUGACAGUUUACAAUUUUUCUUGAUUCAUGCUUCAUACAUUCCCAAUUCCAAUUAAUAAUGAAUGUUUGCAGCUGUUUCUUCUCAUUUUGAGUCGUGGUACUUUGGCAAAUGAACGUCCUGAAAGCUUAACUCCAUCCACGUCAUUAAGAUCAACUCCACUCUGAGGAGGCAGCUCUUCCCCAAUUGUUGUUUGAGUGCCUUCCAGCCUGGAGAGGCUCAUCAUCCGGCACUAUAUCAGACAAUGUUUCGCUGCUAUCCGUAAGGUUUUCACUGGCCAAUUUUUUCAGAAGUAGAUCACCAGGCCUUUCUUCCCAGUCUCUCUUAGUCUGUAAGUUCCACUUAAACCUGUCUGCCAUAGGUAACCCUGCUAGUAUUUGAAAUUCCAGUGGCACUGCUUCCAGCAUCACAGCAACAUGCAAGCCACCAUGGUAGGACAAACUGACAGAUGAGUGUUGGUUAGACAGCUGAAAGGGUGCUGAAUUAAGCCACUUAGCAGAGAGGUCUGAGUCAUCUAGCAGCAGCUGUCUGUGCCUCACUGGAGGUGUUUUGAUCUUUGUCAUCUCAGUGCAUUUGUUAAGUACUAUCUGUAGCACAGUGCUCCAGGUUGUGCUAAGUGAGUUACCCAGAUAAGGGUCUCUUCCCUUGAGAACAGCACUGAGGCAAAGGGACCUAGAGGUUGUUGACACGGCAGCAGAACAAUCCAGAUAGGCAGUAGAAGAUAGGGAACGCCCGUAUAUUGAAUGCAGAGAAUCACAUCUUGCAGCCAAAAAGGAGCUUGGAGAGAGCCAGUCUACUUCCCUAGCUUAGAUCAGUGAAGUCGUUAGCUCAGGUCACAUGGCAAGUAGGGAGCAGGUUGUCUCACUUAACAAGACAGAGUUCUUCCCACCUCACCCUACUGGAGCAGAAUUGUUUCACCCAAGGACUGAAAUGUGACAAUGUCUGCCAUAUUUAAUCAGAAAAGGCUUUAGGAGAGAGUUGGCAUUUCAAGUACAUCUUGAGAUGAGAUCUUUAGAGAUCAGGAUAGGAUAUAGGGGAUGGUGGGCAGAGUGUGUUUGAGAAGAACUGAGCCCAAAAAGGUUAUGAAAUAUCUUGAGGCAACCUCGUAAGAAGCCUUGAAGCAGUGGAUGAGGUUCUUGGUCAUGUUUUGUAUCACAGAGGGGAGUCAUGAUAGGACCCUGAAAUGGUGACCAUUCAUGACUGUGACAGGCAUGACCGAGUGGUUGGAUGGUGGAAAUCAGCCCAGAGGGUUAAGAAAAACCAUUGCCACCAUUUCUGGACAGCUAUUAUGUGCCAAGCUUUAAAGAUUAGCAUUUUAUGUCAGAUGUCUGUCACCCUCCGAGCAGCCCUGCUGGACAGGUGUUGUUGCCUAUCUGCAGAUAAGGAAACAGACUCAGAGAGAUUGAGUAACUUGCUGAAAAACAUAGAAGUAUUGAGGGAGCCAGUAUUUAAGCCCACACUGUCUCCUUCCAAAUCUUUCUGCUACUCCACAAGGCCUCUAAAGAACAUUGGGAGGAAAGUUAUGGAUAGCCAGCCAGAGAGUAGCUAGAAAUGUCCAUGUUUAUCCCAAACUGGGAUUCUAUAUUUUAUGAGGGGGGAGGGGACGGGACACAAGCUUGUGCAAUGGUUUGAGUUAUGCUCAAGAGAAAAAAAAAAAACAAGACAAGUGAAAAAUGACUAUAGAGAUUACUUUUUGGCAGGUCAUCGACAUAGUAACAUGACCCACCAAGACAGAGAAGAGUGAGGAUCACAGAAGAAAGAUAAGCAUCUGUCAUAUAUAAUAAGAGUUACUGAUGAUUUAGUGAGUUUAAGAUUGAGAACUAGUAUUGCGUGACCAAAGGGGAAAGUUCAGAGUGGAUAGGUGGGUUGAUGUGUCAUCUAAAUAGUAAUAUAGUGACAUUGGGUGAGGUAAAUCCUCAAAAACAUCAUUUAAGGACCUAUUUGCAUAUAGCACUGUACUAAAGCACUGAACUAAGAAAUUGUAGCAAAGAAGUGAAUAGACAGGACUAGGAAAAUUACAAACUAAGAGAGGCCAUGAUGUUAUCAUACCACAUCUUGUAAUGGUAGAGAACAGGGAAAAUUAAGCCUGUUAAGACCCCACUGCCAGUAGGAAAUGGAUCAUUGAAAUGGUUUGAAGAAGAUAGGAAAGGCAGAGCAUUGAAACAGAAGACAAAGCCAACAUGCCCAGUAUCCUGGAUUUCAGGAAAGAGGGAAAGGCAAGGGAAAGAAUACCUGUUGAGCAUUUUAUUAUGUGCUGACAGCAUUAAAUAAUUAAUCACUCCAGUAAAUUAAAUACUCAAAUUUUCACACAGUGCUUACAGCAGUCCUGCCACGUAAGUGUUACUGCCGCACUUUACAGAUGAGGAAACUAAGGCUCUGAGAAGUGGUGACUUGCCUAAGAUCAGACAGGUAGCUGAGACAGGAUUCACCCAGGUCUGACUUUGAAUCCCUUGUUCCUUCCACACUGCUCCUCGACCUCACCGCGAUUUGGAAGGAAAUUGGUUAUAUACAGAGUCCGAAGCUAUGAAAGGAUGAUGAGGAUCAGAAUGGAUUUGGGGCAGGGAUGAGGAUACUGGUCGCCUUACUGAGUGAAACCACUGGGAAGUAGAAAUGGGAGAAGUUGGCCAUAAGGAAAUUCACGUGUGUGGCCUUUUGCUAUCUGGCACGUGCAAGGCUUAAAUCUUAGUUGCAUCCUACUCUCCCUUUUGAGAACAUGAGUUCCUUGUUUGAAAAUUAUUUGCAAGCCACUUUUCAGUCUGCAUGGGAAUAGGGUUGGGCUUCCAGGUUGAUAUAUCUUCAAAUUACAGUUCCAAGAAAAAUACUGGGUCCACUGCGUAGUUUUUCGCAUUUUUAACUGAUGGUCCCCUUGCCAAACAUAGCCAUUCACACCCAGCGAGUCAUCUGGGAGCUAUGGGAAUCCUUUCCCCAACUAGUACCAUGCUUUUGCCAGCUGUGUUUAGAAAUAUCCCCAAGUCUCAUUUUCUUACCCCUUUCAGUGACCAAGGAGCUCUGGUGGUACAGUGGUUCAGAGCUCAACUGCUAACCAAAAAGGUUGGCAAUUUGAAUACACCAGCCGCUCCUCGGACACCCUGUGGGGCAAUUCUGCUCCAUCCUAUAGAGUCGCUCAGUUGGAAUCAGCAACAGGUUUGGUUUCAGUGACUGAUAAGCCACUUGUUUUUUAGAUUAUAUAUGUAUAUGAUAGCAACUAAUUGGUAGAAGACCUUGCAAAAAUAAUUCUAAAUUGGAAAAACAGAGUUAGUCUACAUGGGGUUUUUGUAAUCUUGAAGUGUGAAAAGAAGAAUGGGCAAAUGUUUUGCUUUAAAAGUGGGUAAGUGCAGGGCACAUCUAAGUCAAUUGGUGUAAUAAAAUCUAUUAAGAAAACACUCUGCAUCCCACUUUGGAGAGUGGCGUCUGGGGUUUUAAACGCAAGCAAAUGGCCAUCUAAGGUGCAUCAAUUGGUCUCAACCCACCUGGAGCAAAAGAGAAUGAAGAACACCAAAGACACAGGGUAAUUAUGAGUCCAAGAGACAGAAAGGGCCACAUAAACCGGAGACUACGUCAGCCUGAGACCAGAAGAACUAGAUGAUGCCUGCCUACAACCGAUGGCUGUCCUGACAGGGAACACAACAAAGAACCCCUGAGGGGGCAGGACAGCGGUGGGAUGCAGACCCCAAAUUCUCGUAAAUGACCAGACUUAAUGGUCUGACUGAGACUGAAUGACCCCAGAGGUCAUGGUUCCCAGACCUUCUGUUAGCCCAAGACAGGAACCAUUCCUAAAGCUAACUCUUCAGAGAGGGAUUGGAUUAGACUAUGGGAUAGACAAUGAUACUGGUGAAGAAUGAGCUUCUUGGAUCAAGGAGACGCAUGAGACUAUGUUGGCAUCUCCUGUGUGAAGGGGAGAUGAGAGGGUAAAGAGGGUCAGAAGCUGGCCGAAUGGACUCAAAAAGAAAUAGAGGAGAGAAGGAGUGUGCUGUCUCAUUAGGGGGAGAGCAAUCAGGAGUAUAUAGCAAGGUGUUUAUAAGUUUUUUGUAUGAGAGUCUGACUUGAUUUGUAAACUUUCACUUAAAGUACAAUAAAAAUGAAAAAAAAAGUGGGUAAGUGGGACAAGAUAGUCUCUUUUAACAAACAGUGCUGGCAUAACUGGAUAUCCAUCUGCAAAAAAAAAAAUAAA